CACUUAGCUCUGACAGCUCAGGUGUUAGCACGCUCUAUUGAUUGAGUUUGGCAGCGUUUUACGUCGGUUUCAGCCAGGUUUUAAUCACAAAAUUCGCUUUUUAGGCUUUAUUUAUCGACUAUUCUCGCUUCCAAAAAAACAACCGUGGAGAAACACGUCUUACUUUUUCUUUAAUUGAAUGAGAGAAAAUCUGACAAGUAGCUAGCGUUACCUUGAACGUUACUUAAGUAACCUGCUAGUAAUUCCUCUGAGCUCCACACGCGACCGGAAAUGACAAUUACGGAUUACAAAGCGCUUUCACCUGGACAAGAAAUCAACAGGUAAAACUUCCAGUCGAUGAUAACAUUUUACUGUUUAGAGAACUUUAAAAAUUUGAUAACAAUUGUUCACUUGUUUUCAUGAAUGCGUGUACAUCAAGAAAUUGUAGCAUUAGGACUACCAUGGCUAAGUAAUGCAAUCUAGUACAACAGCUCUGCCAUAAAUUCUCCUUUUAGAAAACCCAUUAAGAGUUUUUAAAUGAUAAUUUUUGAGUUUUGAUUAUUUAUUAAUUCAUGUUUUUUUUAAUCAAAAAUUUAAUUGAAUUUUCCAUUUCAUUCAAGCAGAACACAAAUACACAAAGAUAUAAUGGAAAUACACGACGGGACAAAAAAAUAAUAAUUAUUUAAUUUGAAUGUAGGCUAUUAAUGAUGUGGUGUGCACUUAAUAUUUUGUUUACCUCAUCAACAAAUAAGAGGGGAACAAAAUAUUGGUCAUACCUCUCCAAUGUAAUGCACAACAGUACACCACCACAGCUUAAGCAUUUAAUGUAGAAAACUAUCAUCUCCAGAAUUGAAACUAUUUUAGACUGAAGCAUCAUUAAAAUAAACUGGACCUGAUUCUAAAAGUCCAAAUAUUGUUGGUUUAAACGUGAACAAAGCAGUGGUGAUAUUUACUAUAAAUGUCCUUACAUGUUGUUUUACAUGCCCCUCAUGCAUUGCUCUAUGUCUUACAUUCCCUCCCUGUUCCCUUUGUCACAUUUGGGCCCUCAUAAAUACACUUCAUCAUGCCCUAUCACAGUCUUCUUUUACGACUGAAGGGAUACGCUGUAAAGGACCUUGUACCCCUUUAAUGCCUGACAGUAUCACAAUACUUACCCACUCGGGAGCAGCCAACAAGAACCCCCUCCCUCAUGUCACAGGCAAACAGGUUACGUGACAUUGGGCAAAAAAUCCUCAGUGAGUUAAUUUGGAGGAUAAUUUUCAGCUCAGAGGCCACAGGAGGAAGAGCGUGCGGGCGGAGAAGCAGUAAUGGCUGUCCUGGGAAUUAGUGUGCUCCGGCAGGUCACAGGAUGGAGUGUGCUGUACAGUACAUAACCAGACAGACUACUGCAGUGUAAUGUUGUUCACCUGUUACAUAACUCUUAAGUGUGGUCUCAACGGCCUGAAACCUCCCAAGUCAGCUCAGCUGAAGUCUUGUUUACAGACACUGUGGACAUGAGCAGAGAUGUUAGAGCAUACAAACAUUUAACCUGGACUUGGAUCCCAGAAAGAGAUUUUAUAUAAUAUACUUUGCUUGGAUUACUUCUUUUUGAGGUUUAGUCACAGUCUUUCCUGCUUUUUUUUUGUUUGUUUCACAGACUAAUUCUGAAUGGUAUGGAUGGAUCCCUUAAUUUUUGAAUGAAGUAAGUAACUUGAAAGUAACUUGAACAGGUUUUUGUUUUAAAUGGGUAACACAAAGAGACUUCACUGGAUGUAACAAGUCUUAACUAUAAAAAUCCAAAGGUGGUUUAGAACCCUAGGAAACAUUUUUAAAUUGAUGGAUUCAGUUUCUAACUUCAGGAUUACUUGUGUGUAUUGUGGCGAUCUACUAGUAAAUUAUGUCCUCACUUAAUAAACUAAAGAGUGAAGUUAAGCAUGCAAGAGAGCGUGUCUAUCACUUCUUAUUUCCAAGUUUUAAAAAUAAAAUUGAAGUUCUGUACACAUUAGUCUGGUGGAGUGGUUAUGUGACAGUUUCAACAACUUUAUUUUUUGUUUUCCAGAUUAAGAUGCUGCCAAACUGUACCAUGCUGCAAGAUACCUGUCGUCUGUCAUCAGUGCUACAUCAGGUUGGUAGACCAUUGGAGCAGAAUGUAUUAAUUCAGUCACCAUUACCUUGAGCCCAGCCCUGUCUAGUGGUGGAUGGCUAAGACUUAACGUAUGACCGACAUUGUAGACAUAUAUUAGUAAUGUGAAUACUUAUCUGUACAAUGUUAGCUUGAUGCUGGUUGACUAAACAUGCACAAUCUUUGUCUACUUUGUGUAUGAAGCUUCUGUACAUACUGGUCCUCAUUUACCAAACGAACACUGCCCGUACAACCAUUUCCACACAAGGAUCGGCAUUUAUCAAUUUGAACGUGAGCGUACGAUACGAUCAAAUCUCACGACAGGUCUCACAUCGUGUACGCAAGUUUAAGUGCAGAUUUGCGGUGCAGCCAAUGUCUGUCUCAAAAUAAUUGAUAAACAAACCUCAAACCUGUCAUUAAACACAAUCAGACAGAUUUCAGUAAAGAUUAAGACGUAAAUAAAAUAAAAUAAAUUUGUUGUGUCCUUAGUGAAUAGGCCUGUUUGAUAACUCUGCCCAGAAACACUGCCACAGAGCAGGAGCGCCGUUUUAACAUCACACACAAGAACCCCAAACUGAUACCGUAACAAGUAAACGUGAAAGCACAAAAGUGUGAUGUGGUGUUAAGGCACUAUCAUCACAGUGGCCACAUCAACAUACUGUGGGAAAAAUAAUUUGUAUUCUACACAUAAGUUAAAAGUGACUGAAUUGAAAACAUAAAUAGUGAUUAUAAAUGCAAAUCAUGGAUCUUGCUUCUUGGAAUUGAGGAUGUGUUUCCUUGCACUUGAUGUUUGAAUAUAUAUUUUUUUGGGUGGACGGCGUUGUAAACAACAUCUUCCUCAGAUAAUGAAUUCUUUUAUAAAGAUGAAAAUUAAUUUAACUGCUUAAUAUUUCAGUCCAUGUGUCCCACUGUUUGUGUUGUACUCUGAAAGAGGCUUUUUGUAGAGGCUUUCAAAGGUCAUUCCAGGUGGGUCAGCGAAACAAAUUUAGCGCUCGCAAGGUUGUGACAACCGUAAUGACACUGUAAUUAUGCUCUCACACACCUCUCGAUGAAUGAUAAAAACGCGGCGUUCGAGGUAAAAUAGUCUUGUCCUCGGGCCAGAUGGCAUGCAGCGAUGAUAUCUGGCUUGCAGUCAAGGUGGACAGCAGACGAGCCAGUACUCUGACAAGCCAAUAGAUUCCAUACUCACCGUUGCCCCCAUCCUUUCCACCUCUAUGGCCAAUCAUCAAAGAUAAUCUUUUGAAUUAAGAGAAAAAAUCCAGGGUGAACACUUUGAUGAGAUAAGUACCCUUUGUCAGUGCAGGCAAUGGUAUUUUAAUUAAAUAUAUGAACACAUGGUCCUGCCCCAGAUGCUCAAGUCUAAACAAAGAUAGCAUCAUCUAAUCAAAGCCAGGCCCAGAGUGUUUCAAGGGCAGAAUUAUUUUCUAUUAGGGCCCCUCUCCUCGGGGAUUGAGCCAAUUUUCUUUAUUAUGAUAGAAUCAGCAUAUUGUAGAUCGACUUCGGCGAUAGUGUCACGGCAGGGUGGGUGUGCCGGUCCCAGAUGCGCCACCGGCAUGUCAAAUCCUUCAAACAUAUACAAGAGGUGUCUUUUAUUUUCUUUACAUGUUCAAACUCUGCUUGUUUUCCUUUUUGAUAACAUGUAAAGUUGAAAGUAAAAGAAGAAAGUGUGUGCUUUUUCUUGAUGUCGGUUCACAAGAUCCCCGUGUGUGGUCUAAUGAGCGCACUGAUCCAUUAAUCCCCUGACCUCGCUUGAUUCUAAUCAGUGUACCUUCAAAAUAUGCUAUUGAGAACCAAGAUAAGACUUCCCGCCGCUCUGCUAAUUGCAGGGUAAAACCAAAAAAUCAGCUCUACAUGUAACCCCCGCUAAGAUAAUAAAAAUAUAUUUGUCUGGAUCCUCUGUGGAUACUGUUGAUUGGACGCUGCUGUGAUGCAGCAAUUUAAUGAGAUCUCCUAAAGGGAUGCUCUCACUAAUGUGUACACAUCUGCUUUCAUGGCAGGGGCCGGAUAUGGCUGGAUGCUAAUACCAAUACUGGGGUUUUAUGCUAGCUCGUAGCGGUACACACAGUUAGACGUAAGCGAUGAAGUUGUUAAGUGCCGUGUUUUUCUAACAGGGUCACCGAGCAGCUGCCUGGUUGAGCCUUGGAUUUCAUAGAGAUAGAGAGUUGCCCUCUGGGAACGGAUGCUCACUUUAUGUAGGAUUAUAGCUUUCAUCGUGAAAGGUAUCUUCCUCUCAUAUCAAAGAAAUGAUUGUUUGGAAAUUGAACCGCAUUUUAUUGAGUUGGCAGGAUGCAAACAGGGUUCAGUUUUCACUUGCAUCUCAGGAGUAGACAGUUUGCACGCCACAUAUUAAAAGAGUGUAUCUGAGAGUAGUCUGAUGAUUUGUGAGAUGAUUAAAUGGUUGGAUUUCAGGCUUUUAACCGAGACAUCUUAAUCACUAAUUGCCUGACUCGUUCUGAGUUGGCUUAAUUUCAAUCCACGGUUUUCUAAGACAAAACACAGAGUCAAGUGUUACGAAUUCUGUGCUGCUUUAUUCAGUCUAAUUUCAUUAUCGAGAAUUGUUGUGAUCUUCUCAGCUAAAUUGUGCUCUCUGUGAUCAAAUAUUUGAUAUUCACUUGUUAAAUCAAACCGUUCUGGUCCAUUCAGUGAUAACAAUCGACUAUUUUUUUAGCAGAUUUGGUGCACGAUAUUCCAGAAAAAGAAAGAGAAGGAGAGACCCCUGUUAAAAUACAUAUAGGUAUACAUACAGGGCUAAGCCAAGCUGUCUGAAUAUUACACUAUAUAUUAAAUUUUCUGCUAAAAUGCAUGUUCUACCAUAUUUUGUUUUACAAAUGAUGCAGAAAACAUGUUUUUCAUGUUUUUUUAAACCUUUAUUUCCAUCUGUAAAGCCAGUAGAGUGAUGUUCAUACCUCCUAUCAAUUAGUGUGGUUUAAAUUUCACUCGACACUGUGUACGAAACUACUUGUGUGAGAUUGUAAUGCCAAUUAAAACAGCGCUUGGAUGUUGGGAUAAACUUGUGCAAGCUGCGCGUUAGCUGACAGCUUUCAGAUACUCCUGAUUUUUUUUGAUUCGUACAUGUGAUUGAUGUUUCACUGUGCUGUAGAGAAUGUACGUCGGGAUGUAAAAUCCCAUUUCCCUCCAUGUAUUUCAGGGUAAAGUAUUAUCUCAUACUGUGAAUGAUAAGGCUAGUCUUCAGUGGUGCAACAGAUUAGAAAUCUCAAGGUUUAGAUCAGACUUUUGGAUUCAAUAGGAAGCAUGUGUUUGGGUCUCUAACUCCUGUUUUUGGACUGGAAACAUUGCUGGUUAUAACAGAGCAUGUGGCCAAGAUCACUACAGUAGGUUGUUAUGUAACUAACAUGAAGUUUAUGAUUGUUGCCACUUUGAACCAACAGCUGAUACCUGUAUUUUAAACUGCAGUCAUAGCACAAGAAAACAGAGAAAAUUAGGCAUUGCUUAAAGUAACUAGAAGUUUAGAUGCUUUAUUACCAAUUUUAAUGAAAUGUAAAAAAAAAUUAAAAAAAGGAUUUAGUAAACACACACGUAAUGAAUGUAAGAUCCAUAAUAGUGUUUAAAUUGUGUUAAUGAAUUUUACACUGCUAGAGGGCAGAGCUGAUGGCAGCCUCCAGCUGAAAGAUAAACACUUCCUUGUCAGUGAAAAUGAUGUUUCAGGGUUCUUGUUGGUUAAAACGAACAGGUGUUUUUUUUUUUGGUGUGUGUGUGUGCUGAAGAGGGGACCUCAGCAGGGGUUUCAUCUCAAAGCAAAAGACUUUAAUGAACAUUUAAGGGUCAAGUUGAUAAUGGGUUUGUGAAGUUUGCACCCUGCUAUUUCAUUUAUGCAUAGCUCUGUGUGGAAGAAAUCAGCAAAAAUGAAACAGAAAAAAAGUGCAGAAUAUUCUCCUUAGAAAUAUGAGCAGCCCCGGAGUUUUCUUGCUGUUUUUUUUAAUUCAAGGACUUCUAGGGGGCAGCCCGAGUAUUAACCCUGUUUAAGAAAAGUCAGUAUUUCUCUAAUGAAAUCCUGCUAGCUAUUAACAUUUACUUAUUAUUUCUAUGAUGCAUUCGUACGAGUCCGUCAUGCUCUACGUGUUUCUUUUCAGGUUUGGUUUUGGAGUCAGUAAUGAAAUCGAACAUCCCUGUUUGAGAUGCUGAUACAGUGUGCAGCUUUCAGUGCAAGCCAACAGAGAAAAUUCACCCGUAAAUAUUCAGGGUAAAAUUAGCCUUCUUUGUGUCACAUGUACCAUUAUUUCCUGCUGCCAUCGUGGGAUCCCAAUUCCUUUGUAUGUUAUUGACUUCAGUAACCAAGUUGAUCUGAAUGUAGGUUUUGGAGAUUUAAAGUUACUCUGUCACUUAAGCAGCAAAAAAUUAAAAUAAAUAAAUAAAAGAAAUGAUUUUCUUAUAUUAUCAGAAUAAUGCCGGCACAGUUAGUACAGGUUGAAUACAGUCAAACGUAGGCGUUUUUGUUAAUUUUAUUUAAGUAGUUUUGUCAAAACUCAUCAAAUUGAUUGUUCAGGACAAAACUGUGGAAAACUGAAGCACCACAAAAGCAUGUUUUUUGAUGCUUCUGUGUUCUUUUCCCCUUUCGGAAUAAAUUGUUUGCUUUCUUAUUUAAACAAAGCAAACAAUUAAUUUUGAAUCAACAAUCCAAUUAACCUGGACUGUGACUGUAACGCAACUGUACUAAUUAUAUACAAAUCACUUCAUAAUGAGCUCUACAUAUUGUCCUCCCUCACCAUUGUUUUCCCAUGUUUGAAAAAAGCCCAUGAAUGUUUAAUUAGCGUCUCACAGUCAGUUCCAUGUAAUUUCAAACCUCGCCUAAAUAAAGGAAACAUUUGCGAUAUAAGAGGUCAAUCUAAAAAGUAUCUACAAAGUAAAGAUAACAUUUCUAGAACCUGUGCUGAACCAAGUAACAGCAAAGUCUGGUCUUUGUCAAUUUUUUGCAAUUUUUAAUCUAUUUUUUUUUUUUCAUAUUUUGUUAACUACUGAUGGGAGAAGACUUUAUAGAAGAGAAGAGCACUUUUCAUUGAGACGGAGUAAAUCUGGACGACAACACCCAACUCCAGCAGACAUUUGGGGUUGUUUUUUCGUGGUUGCUGUGCUGGUGUAAAGGUGAAGGCAAAGUUGAAGGCUGGGAAAUGGAGAUAUAAGCCCUUUCUUCCAUCAGUCGUCAUGGGAAACUUCAAUUCUCUGCCCAACAAAAACGAUGAGCUGGAGAGAUCGGUGAAGACUGAGAAAGCACACUGUGAGUGCAGUCUCCUGUGUUUUACUGAAACCUGGUUGAACCAAAACAACUCCGACUCCAGUGUGGAUCUACCUUGCUUCACUCUCAUAAGGUCAGCCAGAGAUGCCAAAGCUAGGAGGGAGUCUGGCUUUACUUGCUUACCAGAGAUGGUGUAACUCUUGACUCAUCACUGUCAAGGAAAAGGAUGUGUUGUCCAGAUAUUGAACCGUUGGCAGUUGCCCUUCAGCCAUAUUAUUGCUGCGUUCCUGUUGUACUUGGAAGUUAGGAUUUCUGAGCUCCGAGUCGGAAAUUCACCUGGAACGCCCCACUGAAGUUAGAAAGUCGGACGAUCCUUGCCAACCCCGACUCGACGACAACGUCAUAAUUCAAGAUGGCAACUCAGUGAAUUAACAGUAAUGGGUGACAGUGAAAGCUCUUGUAAUGUAUUAUUUUUUAGCACUUCUGUUUUGUUUUUGUGAAAUAAAAUAAGUGAUAUGUGUUCUACUGCCCAACAUCUAACUGUGAACACGGUGCUAUGGUGUUUGUAGAGUGAAAUACUGUGUUGUGCGUUGUUUACAAUUGGUAUAGCUAACAACAAUUAACAACAGCUUACAAUGGCUAACAACAGCUGACAAUUGUACACAACCGCUAACAACGGCUAACAGUAGGCGUCCAUCUUGGCUUUCUGACUUGUUAACCGGAACGCCGUCAACGUCAUUCCCUGCUCCGACAUCCAACUUCCGAGGUAACUGGAAUGCAGCAUAUCUUCCAAGAGAGUUCAAUCAUAUCAUAUCAUAGAAAUACUUGAAAACAUCCCACCUAAAGCAACGGCUGAAGUUCCGUGUUAUGUUCUCCACAACACUGUUGCUAGGAUACAGACGCAACAUCCUGAGGAAUGUCAUAAUAUCAGGAGACUUCAAGCAUGUCACCCUCUCCUCUCAACCUGACUGGAUUCGACAGGUGGAGAAAGAUGAACACUGAGGAAGGUAGAGGCCAUUCUAACAAUGUAUGUAAUGACUUGAAACUUGGCCCAGUGAUCCUCUUUGACUCUAGAAUAAUCAAUCAAUCAAAAGAGUGUGAUGACAAAAGGUCAGUGGUUUAUGAUGCCAGAUUGUCAAAAAGUUCCAAAAGCAAUGUGAUCGGGGGAUUUCUGUUUUGACAGAACAAAGAGACCAGCAGUUUAUCACUCAUACUCUGGAGCAUGCUUUUAUUUAUCUCACAUAGACCAUGUAAAAACUGACGGAUUGAUCCUUACUUUUAUCAUCUUGACAGGUCUACACCACCCAGCUCCCACGAUGGCCGAACGGAGGUACCAAAUUGACACCUACACUUGUCCCUUACAUUAUUACUGAGCACAUUUCAUGACAUUUUAAAGUGCUUUGAAUUAUUAAAUGUGUUUCCCUCACCUUCGGGGCAUCAUUGAUUUCCAUUCAUUUCUGUUUCCGAGGAAAAUCAACUCGAGACCUGAUUGACUUGCUUGCCCGCUGGCAAUCCAUCACAACGGUAAAAAUAGAAAUCUUUUUCAAUGUCCUUGAAUUUGCAUCAGCACCUUUAUGCAGCGUUACAAUGACGUAAACACGAGAGGGACGUAAUUGACAUUGUGGCUGGUCAAAGCCGAGUGUCAACACAGUAGAUUGAUUUCUCUUUAAGUACUUGAAAUCAGCUAUGACCAGGAAUUUGUGUCAUAGGUACGGCUAUGUUUUUCAUUAUAUUUUAUUGACGAUAAAUGCGGGGAAUAAAGAGAAAGAGGACAUUUUCCAACAGACGCAGAUAAAGCAAGUGCAGUUGCCGCUCAUUACAGGGAAGAUAUCAAGCUGUGAGUCAUAUCUUUCCAUCUUGCUUGGAAGUAAAUGCAUUUAUAGAUCCUCGGUGGCAGAACCAAAUGGCAGUAGGUCUGAUAAAGUCAUUUUUUACACGACAAAGGGCAGCGCACACAAUUGGUUUAUCUAAAAUCCGUGGGACUUUGCUUUUGUAUCAAAAUGUCAUGGGACCAGGAGUCAAUAACUCAGAUUUAAUGACCGAGGGAGAAGUUGUGGUUUCCUUUAAUGAAGCAAGAAAACAGUUUAUCUGGCUAGAUUGACCUUAGGCAAUUACUUUGAGCGCAUUCCUCAAUCAAUAAAGCGCCAGUUCUGGUUCUUUUUUGUUGUGUGUGUGUACGUCAAAGUGUGUGUGUGUGUGUGUGUGCAACAUGGGUGGCUGUGAUCUCUCCAGCUUCUUUUAGUUUGAUAAAACUCAAUAGAUAGACUAGUGUCAGAUUUGUUGCUUUUACGUCUGUUUUAUUUGGUUAGUUUGCCCAUGCACACUUCUACCAUCACCUGAAUGGAUAAAAGGGGUCCACCGACAGGGUUUUUCCUAGCCUCUAGUCACUAAACAUGUUUCUUGUAAGUGUUCUGUAAAACCACUCUGUCAGCUCUGAGCAGCACCUGUCAAACUAAAUGCCCACUGGCUGUUUUAAGAGAGUCCAGAUACAAGUCCCCCCCACCCCUUACAAACAAGCUUUGUGCUGCUGUGGGCCUAGCUGUGGCACAGGGGUAAAAUAAGAAAUCACAUUGCAGAUGAAUAUCAGCACAAUGCCCCUGUCUUCUGUACGCCUGGGUGACCUUGCAAGAUCUAAAUUUCAGAUAAAGUGUGGAGAGGAUGCUCCAAAUUAAAGCUCUGCACAGGAAAUUGAACUGUCAGACAGAUGGAGAGGUAGGAAAAGCCUUUUUGUAAUGUAGUUGAUUUUUAUUCAGAGGGCCUGCUUUUGCAAAUGUCACACUUAAUGGCGGUUAUUCUGGAUGAAAUACUGUAUUUGGAAGCGAGACUAUACAUUUCUGUACCUGGAGUGCUGCUUUCUAGAUGAUUGGUUGUUUUGGGGGCUGCAGAUGUAUGCUGUUUUUAUUGUUAAUAAGAUAUUUGCAUGACAAAGAUGAGUCAAAACCAGACUGGCAUGAACAGGGAUUUGAAGAUGAUGAAGAGUAUGGGUUAAAGAUGCUUUAAACUGCAGAGAAACUGGAACAGGGUAAAAAAAGAUGUCUUGAUUGCUUGGUAUUGUCUUCAUGCCAGGUAGGAAUAGGCUCCACAACCCCUGUGUUGAUGCCCCCUAUCCUUAAUCUACAGAGGUCAGUAUAGAUUCCAUAAUGCAGUCUUGUAAAAAAGUGUGAGAUUCCCAUUCAAGGUGAAGCGGAUUAUUCUAAAACAAUGUAUCACAUGCAAUUAUUAAAUGAUCCUUAAGUAUUGAUCCAGUGGCUGAACUUGGGCUCUUAAAGAUGGAGGAAUCUUGCUGAUGUAGUGCUAAUUUUGCCUCACACUGCACUAUUUACCAGCAUUUCUCAGCAUGGGGUCCUGUGUAUUUGUACCUUCAGUUUGGGCAUUGCAAUGAGCAAGCAUUUCCUCGUCCUCAGCCCCCCUGUUUCACACUAACAGCUUUCCCGUGUUUUGUGGUCUGCUAGCUCGUCAGGUCACACCCAUCUUGUUCGACAGUGCCAGUAAAGUAUGUUUCGAAACCGAGCGAGCACACCGGCAGUGACAGCUUUCACGCUGUGUUUGUAAUUUUCACACAUUGAAAUCAAAAGCUCGAGCCACUUGUCAGGCCGGGAAUGGCUGAUUCAGAUAAACAGCGGGUUGCUACAGAAGUCCUCUCAUCCCAGGUGAAGUGUAUUGAUAAUGGGAAUGGCUGCUUAUUGCUUACCAGACAACUUGGAAAUGACGUGAUUCUCUAACUGUGACUCAGGGACUCGUGUUUGUGACUGUUCUUGAUGAUUUCAUCCACACAGCGAUUUUUAAGGAUCCUUGUCUGUCCUGUUUCUUUUUUUUUUGCAUUACUAUAGUCUAUAAUACACUAUCACCAAAUCAUAAAGGCAUAUGAAAUAGGGCUGAGAGAUAAACUGAAAAUGAAAUUUACGGCAAUAACCAACGUUAUUUUGCCCAUAUUGGUAUAUUCGGUGUCAAAAAAAUGAAUAACUAAAAAUUGGUUUUGAAUGUGUGUAGGUAGGCUAUGGUCUCAUGUCCCUUUAAGACGCUGUCCUAUGUCAGAGAUGUGACUCCACCCUAUCCAGUCCGUAACAAAGAGAAAAAGACAGGUGAGGAGAUGGAGGACAGUUCAAAAGUUGUAGUGGCUGGAGCGGCAGCUGAAGUAGACGAAGUUGAUGUGGGAGGGGGUAAGCAGCUUGUGGAGUAGUUAUCGUCCAUCUAUUGUUAUCGAGGUGAACUGCUCAAUAUAUAUCGUGAUAUUGAUUUGAGGCCAUAUCCCUCAGCCCUAAUAUGAAAGAUAAAAUACAUCAUACAAUUGUCUCUAUGUGUGCGUUUCGGUUUGGUAAGAAUAGCAAGCCAUGUGUUGAAAUCAGCUGGUUCGGCUACCAAAAUAGAAGGGGUGGGAGAAAAGAUCGAUACAGCAUAGUAUUGCAAUAUUUUGUUUUGAAUUUUCAAAUUUAUUGCUAAUAAGAAGUCCAAUCAAUGAUAAUGGAAAAAUUAAAUCAACUGUUUGUCCUGUAAAGUUGACAAAAGUGACAUCAGAGAGCAGAAGAAAGUUGGUAUAACAAGUGUAAGGUUUGCAAGAUAUGUUACAUGAACAUAAAAUACUGUGUAAAUAAAUAAGACUAGCAUAAAUGAAAACCAAAUGCUAAAUUAGCAAAACAGUUGAAAAAAAUAUUGUAAACCACUAUACUGUCUCCCAUUACUCACUGCAUUGCAAAAUGUUAAAAAUUGCAGCAAUGUUGUAUCGUGAACCAACUAUCGUGAUGAUAUCAUAUUGUGGCCCUAGUAUCGUGAUGAUAUCUCAUCACGGCCCAGGUAUCGUGAUAAUAUCGUAUCACGGCACAAGAAUCGCGAUAGUAUUGCAUCUUGGCUCAAGAAUCAUAAUAAAAUCAUAUUGUGGCCCAAGAAUCGUGAUAAUAUUGUAUUGUGAUAAUAUUGAAUCGUGAUAAUAUCGAAUUGUGAUAAUAUCGUAUCGUGAUAAUAUUGUAUCAUGAUAAUAUUGUAUUGUGAUAAUAUCAUAUUGUGAUAAUAUUGUAUCGUGAUAAUAUUGUAUGAUGAUAAUAUUGUAUUGUGAUAAUAUCAUAUUGUGAUAAUAUUGUAUCGUGAUAAUAUUGUAUCGUGGGGCCACUAGUGAUUCCCACCCCUAUAAAAUAGAGAUCUGAUCUGUUCAAAGGCUGAUCAGGGAAAUGACUCUUAGACAGAGAUGAAUGAAAGCGAUGCAGCUCUUAUUGAUGACUUGUGUUUUGGCCAAGUAACAGAAAAGUAUUGGUAGUGGAAUCAAUAAAGGCCUAAAAUGUUGAGAGGGUUCAAUGCUCAUAUCAAUAUCUGUACAAAUUAACACUCCACAUUCUUGGCCUGAUCUAGUCUUGGUCCUGUUCGGUCAAUAGUAGAAAACAUGACCCUGAUGCUCCAUAGACAACCUUCAGUGAGCCCUCACUUGCCCCUUGGCUGGCCGUUUUUAAAUAUUUCACAAUGUGACUCAAAGUUCCUCUUGUGCUUUGGGGAUCCACUCCUCUGAAGUCCCAGAUUGAAAAUUCUCUUUGAAUGGGGGUUCUAGGACCGCCGAUCAUUUCCAAUUCUUGCACGACAUAAAACAGUGGCUUUCUCCAACUUUUCCUUAAACUAGGAAAAAGUUCUACUAGUUAGAAAGAGCUUCUGCAGCACUGUUGUUAUGCACUCAUUGUUACAAAUAGCGCCACGCUACUGUGACACCAGUGCAGCGGCCGUGACCUUACAUCGUCUCUUGAGAUAUGACUUUCAGUCAAAAUAGCCUUUCUCCCAUCUAACUUAAAGUAAUGACUCCAGAGCUUACCAAGACCCAUUUGAGUUCAAUAGUGCAGCUAUUCAUUCAUAUCUGAUCCUCCAGACAGUUGUGGUAUUCUCUUCCCCCACAGGGACUAACCAAGACAAGUCCUAAGCCUUUGACAACACACCGUCUUUAGUAGAUCACACGAGAGCGAACCGCAUAGCCUUGUCUGAGGAGCAAUUUAAGGCAACAAACGGCUGACUGGGUAGAAACUGUUCUUCACCCGCUCCAGGUACUGUUAUACCGAGGUGGGAAUUUCAGCUGAAUAUCUGGCACCCCAUGCUGCUGUUGAGUGCUUUUGCAAUGUUUUUGUUCCCAUUUUCUCUUUCAGGAUAGCUGUUUCUUUUUUUUUGAUGUUCAUGAUCUGUUGUGGUCAAAAUAAAAACAUGAAAAAGGCAGGCUCGUAUAAAGAAUAUCUAAAUAUAAACACGUCAUAAUUUAUCUCUCAGGCAGGUUGUGUCCUCAGUGCCUCUUGGGGAUAGAUUGAAUAAAAAAAAUCUUCAUAAGUGUCGUAUACAUCCCAGUCAGUCGCAGCCCUGGCAGUGUCCUUUGUAUGAGUGAUGACUGAAAUUAGUAUCUAACUAAAUCUGCAAUAAGCUCCUGUAUUAAGAUAGAGCUCCCCCAGGACAAAUGAUGUGCCUGCAUUAAAUUAAGUGAGCCUUCUGAUGCCAUCAUAUCACCCAGAGCAUCUGUGUCUGUGUUUCCAUAAUUAUGCAUGUCCCACUAAGAGAGCUUUAAAAGCAAUCUAUGCCAAUGCUUAUUUAGUCUUCCUGCACAAAUAGUGUCAAUUAAGUGUGCCUCCCAACAGGCCACCUAGACUGUAAGUGGAUUGAUUAACUUGUACAUUUGAAUGCAUUUUUUGAUUGUUUGUCUGAUGUAGUGGAAAUGAAAUUAUAGGCUAAUUCAGUCCUCUGACAUUUCUGCUGGCAGAUGGAAGCUUUCUAGAGGUUGCUUGUUUUCUUCUUCAAUCCUGCCUUCUUUCAGUAUCACCUUGACAUUUGGAGUUGAUCAGAUAAGGCAUUUCUCCCUUUUUUUAAGCCAUAAAACCCCUUUAAAGUAUAUACUUCCAUCUAUGAUAUAUGCUAAUGCUUUUCAGCACUGGGCCUGUGGGCUCCCCAGCUUCUACAUUUUGAAGUCCAAGAUGAGUGAGGUAAAGUUGUGCUGAUUUGAAGGAAAGUAGGCAGUCUAGGAGAACUUAACCUUUCAACUAUCAUGAGAAGUGAAAAAUUAUGUUACUCCACUGAAAAUCCUUUACUCUCUAUAAAACAGCACCAUGUAGCUUGUCUUUGUUUCCUUUGUCAGAUAAUUUUGUUCAGAAAAAAACUCUGAAUUAACUCCAGACAAAGGCUGAAUUUACUCCUCUUGUUUGUCUGCGUUGCACAAUGGGAUAUAUUGCUAAGUUUUAGUGAUUAGAUUUUUCCUAUUUGGGUCUCUUAGCUCAGCAAAGGUUGCUGAGACUAUAGAUUGUCAUGUCCCCCACUAGCACCUAUUAAAGUACAAGAAACCUGUUGUCACUUUCUCUUCCCACAAUUUCUCUCUUGGUUUCUCCCUUCCUAUCUCUCCUAAUUUCUCUUCCCUCUAUGUCUUGGUCACACUCCACUGCACCACUCUCAAACAUUAGGAGCAAUCCAUUGUUAUGCAGGGUGAUUUGACACACGGCUGAUACAAGCUGAUACUUGCCCAACAGUAACUAAAUUGUGUAAGUCUCGAUGCUACCACUUUGAACUACCUAUGGCUUGUUCAAGCUUUUCAUAUGCGAUAGGAAACUUGACAAUGUUGUGAUGUAAACAUAGUGUCACAUAUUGUCAAGUAAUGUUGGUCCUGUAGGUAAAAGACUCUUUCAGUCAUUCAGAUUCAGAUUCUUCAACAGUAUUGACAAUCCAGUUGAUUUACAUGUUGAUUCCCAAAAACUAAAUUGCCUUUGUGAGAAUUGUUUCGUUUCGUUGUAUAAUUCACUUCAAGGUGUUAUAGGGUAUCCGUCUGAAAUCCAAUGAUUUGAAUGUAGGGCCUGAAAGGGAUAUUCCGGCGUGAAAUGAAGUCAGGGUCAAACACACUGUAACACUGAGUUAGACACCCCCUCUCGAGAGAUGAAUGUCGCUGACCGCUUGCUUCUCUAGUUAUACCAAUUUUAGUAAUGGCCGCAUGAUAGCAAUACACAGCGGUCUGAGGAGCCGUAAACAAACCUCAACCAAAACGCCACUCUAUAGCCACAAAUAAUGCUCAGAACAGCACCUUACUUCAUCAACAGUACAUUAAGGGUCCCAGCCAUAACACUAGCCACCAAACAUCUUAUUAACUUUGUCUCAUUUCUUCAGCAAAGAGACUAAACACAACUCACCUACUCUCUUCUAGCAGCCGCUUCUUUGUAGCGAGACCUCGGGCCAGUCCAUUAGGGGACUGCUGCGGGGUGACACAGCUCAAGGAAGAACAUUUAUGCUGAUUUCUUUAUCAUUUCCUUUAAGUAAUAAUCACCAUAUUAACCGUUUUGCACUGCAGACUCGGUAGUUCUUCUGCCUUGGCGUCUUGGUCUGAUUGCAUUUCUAUGCAUCUCUCGAGGGGGUGUCUAACUCAAUGUUACGGUGUGUUUGACCUUUAAUGAAUUUUACGACGAAAUAUCCCUUUAAAUGUCUAAAAUUCUCUUCAAAUCUCUUGAAAUGUCUUAUAUAUGAUUUUGAAAGGUUGCUUACAAAUAAAUAACAUGCCAUAGGAAUAAAGAUAUAAAGUAAUGUAAAAUAUUCCGAUUUUCCUUCAUGUCUUUUGUACUUUUUUGCCAGUAUGGAGGUUAAAUUGCUGCUGCAUUCAUUAUGGUCUAAAAAAACAGUCUUAAAUUUGACUUUGUGAAAACUGCAGAGACCCCGUGUUCAUUGCAUGUAAGGGUUAAGGUCACCUACAGUAGUACAGGAAAGGAAAAUUAGCCAAAAUUACAGGAAGAAUCCUUUAAUUUUAACUUCUCAUCUCCAAAAGUUCCUAAAACAAAAAACAUGCUCUUGAAACAUUAAUAUUAUUUUAACAGAGCUUACAAUAAGGGGAUAAAACUUUGUGACCACAUGGGAAAAACACUCAGUCUUACUUUUUUGGGCUCUGGGCCAUAAGGUCAAAGUUAUUGUUGAAUGCUCACAGGUGAUUUGAACCACCGCAUGUUGCUGCUUUCAGCUUGUUUAUCUCAGAAUGACUUGACAUUUCACAACUUUUACCAUUUUUCUUAUAAAAGUUUCAAGUGAAGGUGUCUGUUAUCCAAUUCCACAUUAUAAAUAAUUCAUCGCAGCGGUUUUCUGGGUAAUUUAUCCGUGAGUUCAGGGUGGCACUGCGCAGACAUUAAAAGGCAAGCAUCCAGCUAUAAUAAGUACAACUUCAUUGGAUUCUAAUUUGUCAUUCUUCCACCAAACGCGACCAUUAGAGCGAAUGGAUGGCUAUUUAAUUGUCUUGCUGUGGCUAUACUUCAGCGCUUUCAAUGACAGCGGUGUCUAAAGCCCCGCUGAGUAACCUCCUCUGCUUUAUUUUGAUGUGAGAUCCACAUUAAAUUUCUCACUUCUUUUUUUUUUCCGCCUCUGUCUUCCUUCUUUCUUGCUCUCUCAGGAUUAUACAAAGGUAUGAAUCGCAUGUAAGGAUUAAUCAUCUCCUUCAGGGACACUUCUCUUUGGCCGGCUCAAAGGAUUUCAGGUGCUGAGCAGUGCUUAUAUAGAGAAGAAGCUUUCUCUUAAGUGUGUUAUUGAUAGUCAGAAAGCUGUUGUUAAAGUGAAUAGAGAUGUGAAAAGCGCGGUAAUCUACAUAGUUUACAGCUGUUUCCAUUUGUGCCGAGUGAUCUUUCAACAUUCAGUUAUAUAUUUUAUAUUUAUUUAGUCAUACGGCUAAUGCGUCAUCUAAAUGCAAUAUCAUGUCUCCAUGGUGUCUGCAAGGAACAAUGGAUGCAAUCAUAAGCCAGCAUGAUAUUAAUUAUUAAAACUCCAUCUUCUGUAUUAGCCUAAUAGUUCUCGUUCAGACCCCGGCACUCUCGUACGCAUGAAGCCAAUGAACAGUUCAUCAAACUGACCGAUCCGGAAAAGGAAACGGCGUUUAGCAGCGUGAUUAAUGGGGUCAAUAUGCUGCUAACGGGGGACACUAAAACAUGUCAUUUUAAUCAUGGCAAUGCUUGUGGGGGAGAUGGGAGCAAAUUAUUUCAUUACCAUUUCCGAGCAUCUCGCCGCAGCCCUCCAUCCCUGCAGCUCUACUUACGCUUGUGUGCUCGGGACAAAGAGUGUCUGUCAUUUCACAUGGCUGUUCCCCCCAGUGAGUAGAGAGGCAUAAUGGCAGAGAGUGUGCGGUGUUUCACUCUGGAAACAGCACACCAUCAGUGUCAGAGCUUGUGAACUUAGCAUUUUUUUAUGUGCUGUCAUGUUUUGUCGAGGGGUUUAGGGACAUAGCUUUGGUUUUUCUGUCUUUUGUACGUGUUGACACAAGUUUCCUGCACAGGGCCCUGAUUAGUCAGGGAGUCCAUGCCUAAUAUAACCGCAUUGGAAAAAUGUUUUUCUUCACAGGCCGCCUGGCAGAAAUGGCAGCUCGUCCAGGCUCUGGUGUGUUUGUCACAAGUAAUUAAUUUUUCUCCUAUAAAAACGCCCACCGGGAUGAUGGAAAAGGUGGGUUCAUUAACCUUCCUCACCCGAGCUUCCUGUGGCACUUUACAAUGCGUUGGGUUGAUGGUUCUUCCAAUCGCCCGUGGCAGAAAAUGUGCAGGAAUGAAACACUUUUUUUACUCCAAGAUGGCUGUUUUUGCUGGGGGAAUAAAAAGGAUUUGCUUGGCAGCUCGGUCCAGAAAUUUUUAAACGCUUUCUACAACAUUUUAACACGUCUAGGUUUUACUUCCUUCCUUCCCAAGACACAUAAGACGACAUUUUGAAACCCCUCUCUCAGCACUCUUCCUCCUAUUCCCCCCUCCUUUCUUUUUCACUCACUGGCAUCAGUUUUUCUCCCCUCCCCAGUGCUUGGGUCGGAUUCUGAAUCGCUUUUUUCACAGUUUAUUUCAAAAUGACAUUUCAUGGAGUUUAAUCUCUAGGGGGGAACAAUGGGUACAUUCCAUCACACAGAGUGAUAUGAAAAGCCCCAGACCCUGUGAAUGGGAAGUGAGAGACAGAAUAAAAUAAAUAAAAGAGUAUCUCCGAGUGACCCAGAAUACUGAUGACAGGAACCACAGUGGCAGGCAACUUUAGCACUGUAGCUCCACACACACUCUCUUCUUUCUGCGACUCUCCAUCUCCUCUCUCACUUCCCCCCUCUUGAUUGUCAGUCAAAGCACUCGCAGCCUACACACUUGAAUGAGCUGAAAUAUUCACAGAUAUUAUCCACUAGACUGAAUUGAGCUUGUUAGGAGGGGAGGGAGAGGCAUCUGUGGGCCCUCCCAUAGUGCCGGCAUGUAUAGAUCAAUGCCGGCGGGGGAUCUUGACAGCUCAACUCGCUUUUAGGGGAAGGAAAUUGACUUGAUCUCGCCCUGGCAGCUAAUGCGGUGAUGAGUUGCAACAAGUGUGUCUUCAUGUAGACACCUGAUCUAUUAUACUCCUUUAUUUAUUCACAUUACAAACCAUUUCUAUGUGGCGUUUUCCUUGUGAUUGUUUGAAUUGCUCACAUUUAGGAGUUUAACACAACUGUUGGCUUAAGGCAGUAUAUUCCCACAAAUGUGAGCGCUAGAAUGAUAAUAGAUAUUCCGGUUAAUUUUUUUUUUUACCACAUCCAGGAGCUGGAUUCAAUAUAAUUAAGCCAGCAUGGGGUGUAGCUGUUAAAAUAGAUUGCUUGGCCACCUCUGAAGCUGCAGGUCUUGAGGUAAUAAAACUGAUGGCUUUAGAGCUUCAUGCUUAAUUUGCUCUUGAUUUGUUUCAUCUAUUGGAAUGACUGAGGAGCUCUGUAUGAACGCGUAAUUGUGAAUGAGGCAGCAUCACAUUUCUGGUGCGACAGUUAGCAGAUGACCUUAUUUGAAUACACUAUCUUCCUUUGUUUAAUUUGUAAGUUUAUGGCGUAGUGUUACAAGGGUGCAUCUUUUUAUAUAUUUGUCCUGUAUAAAUGCAAAUCUUUAUUUCUGCACGUCCUUCUGCAGAAACCUUCCUAACAAGGCUCCACCUGAUGGCACACUAACAGAAGCAGAAGGCUUGUUCUUGGCUCCCAGACUUAGAAAUGCGUAUUUGAAGGUGCUGUAUUAAGUCCCAGCAUCCUUCCUGCUGCUCCAGCUUGGCGCCACUUACAGUCAUUUAUCUUCACAGUCAUCACCUGCAUCAUUCACAGUCAUCCCACCGCCCCCAAUCCUCAAGGGUGUUGAGGGAGACUCGCAAAGAUAUUCCGGACGCACCAUGAGUGGCACCAUUAUCUCAGCCCAGUAAUGGAUUACCUCGAUGGUCAGCCUGUCAUGGUCAAUGUUUGCCCUGACAUUUCAUGUAAAGUUCCCUUCCCCCGAUGAAAUAUCAUAUUGUGGUGGCCAGGCGGUGGUUGUUCUGCCAAAUUGGUUGUCACAGUGCUGGCAGUGUGAUACCCUCUGUGUCCCUUUCUUACUCUUUUUGCCUGUUGGUCUUUUUUAUCUGGCUGGUUUGUACUCAGGAGCUACAUUUUUUUUUCUUUUUGCUCUUUUGAAGCUGAAAGGAUGAUAGUAUAGGAACCAGUGUAAGGAAAAAUGGAAGGUAUGUCUGACAAAAACACUUGAGGAGCAGAACCUGGCUCUUCACAUUGUGGUCUGAGGCUGGCACAAAAAAUCUCUAUAUAUUUUAUAUAUAUGUACUAUAUAUAUUUAACAGUUCAUAUAUUGUAAUUCUGUCUGGUUAGAAGGGAAGGGCAAUCAUGAUUAGUUUUGCCAUCCUGGCAAUAACAAUAAAAGUCCUGAUAAAAAAUAUUAUAAUUCCAAAUUAUAUUUUUGACUCGUUUUGUCUUGAGCGCACCAGUUGGAGUAGUCAAAUAAGAUACUUAAAGGAAUAUUCUGGUGUAAAGUUAAUUUAGGGUCAAACACACUGUAACACUGAGUUAGACGCCCCAUCGAGAGAUGAAUGUUGCAGACCGCUUGCUUCUCUAGUUAUACCAACCCAAGUAACGACAGCAGGAUAGCGAUACACAGCGGUCUGAGGAGCCAUAAACAAACCUCAACCAAAACGCCACUCUAUAGCCACAAAUAAUGUUCAGAAAUGUCUUCUUCAUCACCUUCAGCCAUGUUUGUUUGUUAUUCUGCUCUGUGUGGGCUAUGGCUGCGAGUCCGUUGCUCGCGCUUACGUCAUCAACUUGCAUUUAUCAUUAAUUUUUUAUGAGAUGGCAAAUAUUUAUCAUGGAGGAUUUUUCUGACGAUAUAUCGUGAACAAUAUCACAAUAAAUAUAUAACAAUAAAUAUAACAAUUUAUCGCCCAUCCCUACUGGUUCAGGCUACUUUGCAUCUUGAUUGGAGAUGUACACAAUUAGUCAACUAAAGGAGGACAAUCAAGCACAUAAUAGUAGGAAACCAAUUAAGCUAAUGCGCAAUUUACUCAACAGAGCUUAACACUGUCUACACGCAUAUUUUACUUUAGCUUGUUUUUGAAACACAGGUAAAACAUGGCACGUUCUCAUGUUCUCACUUCAUAAAGCAAACACAAAGUUACUCUUGAUCAGCUUGUCAGUAUCUUUCACAUUAAUUCCCUUCCUUCCUCUGGUACUAGAGUAACCAUUUUACUGCCUUUCUCUGACAGAAGUUUCAAGUUUUUUUUUUUUUUUAAUUAAUUUUUUAAAUGAAUAGAGAGAGUUUUUUUUUUCUGCUGCUGCUCAGGUCCUACUCUUCUCUCUGUGCUGCUAUGCUGAGGUAACCUCUUUUUUCAGCACAGUUUAAGAUUUCAUUCUUUGAGCAAACCUCCUGUUUACCCUUUUUUUAUUUCUGCCUAUAGACAGCAUCAUCUCCCAUAAAGCCGUUGUGCUGCUCAUACUUGGGAAAAACCACCACAGGCAAAAUGAGUCUGACAUUGGCCCACAGUACAGGCAAUGGAGGGUGACAUAUCCAAUAUCCAGAGAGUGGCAGGGCUAAAUAUUUUUGUCAGGCCAGCGGCUUUACAGUGAAGAGAUGUGGAUGAAGGGUUCAUUUGGGUCUGGAUUUGAACAUGGCAUUUGAGAAAGUCUGACUCCUGGUGAAUGCUUCUGUUUGGUUUAACCUUGUUCUGUGCAAUCACAAAGCACAAGAGGACAAAUGUGGAAAAAAAAUAAAUAACCCACGGAGAGUGUUGAUUACUUUUUCCAAAGUUUAUGAAGUGGGUUUGUAAUUUAAAAGGAAACUUCAAUCAGUUUGACAUCUUUUAGUAUUGAUUGACUAUCAGCAGGGAUGUUUCAGAGUAGCAUAAUGACUCAUGCCAUGUAGAGUAUUCAGCCAAAACAUGGUACAAAAAAAUAACCAAUUUAAAAGACAGUUCAAAACAUGCUUUCGGACAUGGAGCAUAUUUAGUAAGGCUGCUCUGGUUCAGUUGACACUUCAAAAAUUAAAAAUGUUUUUGCCCCCCAAAUGUUUGAUCUCAGCUGGAUUUCCGUUUUGGCAUCUGAACUGGUAGCCGAUUAGAACCAGAAGUGGAGGAUCUGAACUGGAAUGAGAGUCAAUAAAAAAUGCAAAAAUGUCGAAAGUUUGCCAAGUUUUAAAGGCCUGCUGAUGGAAAAAGAUGACCACACUGCGACGUCUUUUUUGAACAACAACUUAGAGUACACUCUAAAGGUCCUUACACCCCGGGAACGACGCAAAUAUACGACGCAAAAUUACAAAAUAUUCGGAGGCGAAUUUUGACGUGCCCGAUAAAGCACAUCAAUUGCAAUGCGAUUUUGUAACUUUCCGGGGGAAAAAAAGACGCGUCCCAGGUGGAAGCGAGAAGACUGACACAACACCAGACUGACUGUUUUUCAGUUCUGAUUAGACACUAGUGUUGAGAUGACUGUCUGUCAUGAUAGCAUGUACUGAGUCAGGGCCAGAUAAACACAUUAAACUAUAAUCCAUAAACGUAAGGUAACAACAGAGACCUAAUGGUGCUGUGACAGCAACGUGAUUGAGUUUGAAACAGUGAAAAUACAUAUGGUAUGUUGUAUCUGAACAGGUUAACUUACGAGCUAAAGUUACUUAGCACAGAUGAAAGUUAAAAUACAGACGUGUAGCAAACUGUUAAAGCACACAAACUAUCAUCGUAUGAGAGAUCAGAUCCGGUGAAUCUGACGUCGCAACAACACAGAAUCUGAUUGGUCAGAAGUUGACAGACAUUAUGCGAAACUUUAGAAAAUUCGACCGUGAUACGAAAAAAUAAAUGCUGCGAUAUAGCAGGACGGGACCACGUCGCUUAUGUGAACGCUUGUAUUGACAGGGUAUAGUUCUAAAAAUGACACAUAGGUUUGGAUAUAUGCAAAUAUCUAUAUUUGGACCUCAUCCAAAAUGCUCCCCCUACACACACACACACACACACACACACACACACACACACACACACACACACACACACCUACACCUCUAACUCGCGCAAGCAAUUAAAGGUCGUGACUCUUGUCCUCAUAUAGACAGGCUUCAUUCAGUAAUUGAAGCCAUGAUGAUAUGCUAAUUCUAGCUUACACAGCUUCCAUGUAACUUAAUCUCGCUCAGCAUUUUUCCGUCUACCGUGUCUGCCCAAAAUCCGAAGACUUUCCAAACGCAGCCUCUAAAGUUCGUUGGAGUCUAGACCACUCUCUCAGAGUAUGGCUCUGAACAUCCCUCCAUCUCUCCCUGCAUGUGCCACAGACGUUUUUUGUUGUCAAGCCUCACUGCAGGUGCAGCUCCUGUGACCUGUCCCUGACUCGCAAAGCAGCCACAGUUUUUUUUUUUUUUUUGUCUUUUUCCCAUCACUUGCUUUUUUUUUACUGCUGUUUAUUUAACAUUUGAAUAUUAAUUUUCUCAUUCAAAUCUCUCUUUUUUUAUAUAUUUGGAUAUAUAUUCAAAUUUAGAAUAUUCGUUGACAGCCCUGGUAGUCUCUGAACUUUGUAUGAAGAACAGUCCAUAUCCUGUGGGAAAUUGGACAGCAUCAUUACUCAUUAUUAGAAACCCAUUUUCUUGCCAGGACUACACUGCCAGAGGAGGCUUAUUAACAGGAUGGAAUCCCUACAGGAUUUGGUGAGUCAUGUGAAUUUAGCAUUCAUGGUAAUAGCCUAAUGAUUUGUUGAAUAUCAAGUUGUCUUGGUCAGCAUCAGUCCACACCUGCUCUAUCAAUUCAACCAGGGCUUGUAACAUAGUGGUUUUAGCCCGCUCAGGCCGCCUGCUCUUACACUGAGCCACGGGUCAGUGUCCUGCUGGGAUAACAGCCUGGGGAGUGUGUCACAGUGCAGGAAAUAACCUGGGCAAAUCGAUGGACUGUUUUUUGAAAUGCCAAUCAGACUUUGAACAGAGAGCAAUUUGGAUCAGCCUCAGCUGUCUGCACUCGGAGGUGUGCAUCCAAGGUCAAAGCUUUUAGACAUCCAUUGUCACCCGCAGCCUUCCAGCUCGAGAGUUUAGAUAAAAAUAUGUCAAGAAGCAAACCUUGUAAGAGUGUCUAAUGGAAGGAAAAAGUUACGACUUUGACCCUUUGCUCUAUAUUUUUCUGAGAGUUUACUUGUCUGUCAACACCUCUUUUAUACGUUUGCAUUAGAAGAUACAAUCUCAUGAAUAGAAGGGUGCAGAUCUAUUAAAAAAAAAAAAAAAAUGAGUGCUCAAAUCUGAUCUUGAGACAUAGUAAGAUUUUUUUCCUCCCUAGAUGUUGCAAUGCUUAUCUCUUCUUUUGCUGGUGCAGUACAGUCAGAGCUGUGGUGCAUUGCAGAUGUGCCAUAUAUUUACAAGACAGGGAUGACUUAUCUUAACAUUUAAAGUUGCCAGUACACUGUGAGCAAAGUACAGUCCUGUAAAGUGUAGGGAAAACGCCUUGCAUGCAGAUGCUGCUCCAAACGGUGUCCUCAAGGGCCGCUCUUUAUUAAGAAACUGAUGCAGCGCGUGCGAACGUCCUGCAGCUAGUUUAUCCACCUUGUAUCGACUCUUCCCCCUCAUGCAGUGAGGUGAAUCACACCAGCUUCUUGUUUUCAAAUAAAGCAUGAAAAGAUACAAGUCAAUUUCCUGUAUUCACUGCUCCUGCUCAAGGCUGUAACAUCACACUGAGAUCAAUUUGUAACAUUUGUGUUUGUGUUAGCCUGGCCAUAUUGUAUAAUGAGCAGGUUGGAGUAUGCAGCGGAUGUGUCACAUUUCUAAGAGCUUAUUUGCAGUCCUGCUUCUCUGAGUCGCCUCUUUUUCACACGUGUGGCACCUGAAAAAACGCAGGUUCACAGAUCCCAGUAAGACAGAAUUUUCUGGCAAUCACACAUCCAGCUCCCGUACGGAAAAAAUCCUGUCUAUUCACACCUGAAAUCACAUGUUUGGUGAAGAUAAGUCGUUUUUCUACCCACCCAAACAUCAGCAACUGCUCAAAAGAAUUACUUCAAGUUGACAGCUUUUGCCACAAAAGAUAAAGCUGGAUUUUUGCCAUACAGUUCUGGCUGUAUAAAGGCGGAUUUUUGAACAUUAAAUUGCUGGUGCACAAAUAGCUAUUCUCAGGGUUUGAACAUAGAUUUUAAGCACUGAGAGGGAGAAGCUUGUGCAAACAUCAGCUCCCCGUACACUAUUAAAACACUCCAAACUUUUUUUUCCAUUUCACAGCAUCAAAUAAGGUAAGAUGACAUUUUACCUCUGAGCUAAUAAUCUGAUUAUACUCAACAUUAAAUUUUAAAAGUCAAAAAAAUGUUAUUGGUCAAUUUGUUCCUAUCGUCUUUUAUGCAAAAACACUUUUUUUUCGUGUUUAUCCUUUAGACCAGUGGUUCUCAAGUCCAGUUCUGUCCUGCAUGUUUUGGAUGUUUCCCUGCUCCAACACACCUGAUUCAAAUGAUCAGCUCGUUAUCAAGCUCUGUAAUGGCUUAAUAACGAGCUGAUCAUUUGAAUCAGGUGUGUUGGAGCAGGGAAACAUCCAAAACAUGCAGGACAGUGGGCCUCGAGGACUGGACUUGAGAACCACUGCUUUAGACGUUUGGGCUUGAUGCUUUGGACGUUAAGUUGUGAAGACAUAGGUUGCAAUUUCAUAAGUAAAUAUUUCAGAUUUUAAUCUCACAAAAAACAUGAAUGGAGAGAUCCCUUACACUUGUAAAUAAAAAAAUAAAAAAAAGUUUUUAUUUUAUUUUAUUUUUUUUAUUAGGAAUACUUUUUUGCUUUCCUGAAACUCUAGGUACACAGUUUGAAGCGAACACACUUUAAAGACCAUAUUUCUUUUGUUUUUCACAGAAUUUUCACUUUCGAUGGACUCAGUCAUGUAACCUAAAUGGAGGCUAAACAAAAAUCUUCAAACAGCUGCUAAACAAGUCAAAUCAAAUCAAACACCCUGAACUGAUGUGAGCUAAAUCUAAAUAUCCAGAUUUCACCCUCAAAUUCGUUUUUCCUCUACAACUCAAAAUUAGUUUUUUUUCCCCCCUCAAAUUAUGUGGGGUUCAUUUAACCUUUUCCAUAGAUCGAAAUCAAAUCAAAGAUUAUCACAUUUGUUUCACUUGGUCUUCGGGCUUUUUUAUAAUGCAGCAGUUGUUGAAAAAUUGAUUGAUAUUAAAAGCAUUUUUGUAUACCACAAAAAAGAUGCUUCUUUAUUGGAUUCCUGCCUACCUUUUAAAAGGAUUUAAUGACAAUAAGAAUUCCUAAUUUUUAAACAUUUUUCUUGAAAUAUUUAAAGUUCAGUGACUUUCUGAACAAAGAGUAGAAUAUCACCCCGGUCUCACUUUCUAAAACCAUAAAACCCAGGCUAACAGGGUCAUAUGACUGCUGUUAUUACCGACAAUAAAACAUGUCCAUUUGUGUCUCAGUCAGUCUGCUCACUGUGGCAACCUGACCCACUAUUACCUCCUAUCAGCCAUUUAUUUUCAUGGAAUCAGCAACAUUUGGCAAAGCACACUACUCCCCGAAUGAAAAGAUUUAUUCACUUUGAAGGCUUUACAGUGGGAGAAUUAAUGCUAAUUUCAAAGUUGGGUACAAAAUAAGAGCAGAUUGAACAUCAUCCGAAUAGCCUCUUUUUUAAAUCAUCUAUUGUUGUGAGUUCUUUUAACACUGAAUAACGAGAAGCCCAAAUGUAUUUUCUCAGUGUCAUUGAUCAGACAAUCCCUUUUUCUUUCCUCAACGCAGCAUCCCAUCUCCCGAGCCCGAGACUGCUAUUUUUAUCAGUUUUGGUAGCAUAAUUAGAUAUUGAACCAAAGCACUCGCACAAUAGAUGAAAAUAAACGGCAGAAGAGGAAAAAGAUAGAUACUAACAAGUCGAUUUGUGAUGUGUCCUGGCCCAAUAGAGGACUACAUUUCCAUAACAUUUCCAUUCCUCGGCGUGCCCCCUGUAUAUUUGCAUUAUUCGACACUAUUCUUUAUCUCUCUUUGCGAGCGAUGUCAUUUCCUCAUUGACCCGCGAUGACAGCUGCAUGGCAAAAACUGCUUUAUUAUACCAAGAAGAGUUUUAUUACAAGAAAAUAUCUCUUUGAUUCAUCAGGUUUACGCAUCAAUCAGGCCUGUUUUUGUCAUGUGUAUAGAUAGUAUCGCCAUCCUGUGAAAAUAAUUACAUCUCCCAGACUAGGACUGCCUUUGAGUGCCAAUGUAGUAUCCUUUUUCCUUGUAUGUGCUCCAAUGCGGGCUUCAACCUUAAAAAAAAACAUCCAAUGACCCCAUCAUCCUUUCCCAUGUAUAAGAUCUUUACAAAACAGCAAAAGAGGUUUCUGUUAUCUCUUUAAGUUUCAAUGAAGUCUAAGCACACUGCAGGGACAAAGUGCCUUCCCCCUAAUUGUUUUGGUUGGAGGUAAUCAAUACGCAAUCAGCUGCGAUUUUUAUUUUGCCUUGUAAAGAAACCAUUUGCUAGCACUAUCGCAUUGUUGGCAAUGUCACAGAGGUGGAUAUAACGGGUACAUUCAGCACAAAAUAAUGCCACCCGGGGACGAAAAGCCCGGCAAUAAAGACAACCUUUAUUCAGCUCAGAACACACUGAACACACUGUCAUUGAGGUGUUGAUUCACCUCUGUCGUCUUUGCUAAGGCUUCAUGUUGUGCAUGAUGUGUUGUUGAAGAAUGAAAGCUGGUACAAACCCUGACGAAUGGAGUGAGUUGAAUUCAAAGCUCUGAUCUGAAGUGCAGCCUUAAAACUAUGUUGAUUUAAAUCAAAGCCUGUCCAACUCAGUCAAAUUUGAAACACCAGUACACUGAGUACUACAUUACAGGGCUUUUGGCUGUUUUGGAUGUUCUGUACUCAGCACUGCUGUGUGUUUUUUUUCCGUCUUAAGUGGAUUGACACUCAUGCUGUACAUUCUCCUUCGGUGCAUGUAAUAAUAGGUUUUAUUCCUCAAUGCCAGUCACGGCUGGAGAUGAAAGCAUUACUUUCCCAAGUGGUUGGUGUGCCUCUCUUAUUCUUGUGAACUCAAUAUCCGAGAAGUAGGGUUGGUUGAUCAGUUGGUACAUGAGCUCUUGUCAGUCAAUCACACGUGUCACUGUCAUGGGGAAGAAAAGCUCAGUUCAUUAUUUGUAUUAUGAAAUUUUCUGUGGUCUUUUAAUUGUGAUUAUGAAGUUUUUAGCCAAAAUCGUCUUACCUGUGUCAUUUUUAAGUGCUUUUCUUCUGCAGAGCUCCAGUAGAUCAUUAGCAAUUCGCCACUGAGUCGUGGGCGGAGACAGCGCUGCUCUGCACACUUCUCUUCAUGCUAGCUUGCAGUCUAACAUUGCCGGUGUAGUAGAAAUGGCUGGUAACGUAGGAGCUGUUCAGCUCUAGGACACUAACAUCUUUCGGGACAUGAUGAAAGCUAAUAUGACAGUUAGCUUUCUUACGAGCAUUGCAAUCCGCUAUGCAUUCAUGUAAGGCAGCCCGGGCCCGGAGUACGUGCUAGCAAAAAAAUGAACCAAUCAAUGCUUAAUGCGCCUUACAAUCUGAUGCACCUUAUGUGUAAACAUAGACAUGUUAAUUCCCAGUGCGCCGCUAGCAACAAUAAACCAAUCAAUGCUUAAUGCGCCUUGCAAUCCGUUGUGCCUUAUGUGUGAACGUAGACACGUUAAUUCCUAGUGCGCUUUAUAUUCCUGUGCCUUAUCGCCCUAAAAAUACAGUAAAUGUUAAAUGUUAAAUUAACUAAAAAAUAUAUAUGUUUUAUCUGAUUACUAGAUGAAUCGAUGGAAUAUUCGGUGAAAUACUUGAUUACUAAAAUAUUCUAUAGCUGCAGCCCUCAAUUGUAAUGUCUCCUCAUUUCCUUUGCCUCUAUCAACACCCUUGUUCUGUUUGACUCAGUGUAGGAAACACUGGUGGAUGAAGCUGCAGCUUGACUGUAGUUGAGGCAGUGAUUCUUGUUUGCGGUGUUAAUCAAAGAGUAAGACUUUCUUCUGCUGCCUCCCUGCAGCAGGAGGGAUGAUUUGAAAGGCUGAGGCUGGUUUAUGAAUGAGACAUCAGCAGGCAAAGUGUUGCUGUCAAACUGAUUUUUUCUAAUGCAGUCUAGUCAGAGUUCUCUGGUCUCUAACUCAAACUGGCUGCAUAUAAUACAAUACAAGAUUUGACAGACUGUGAAAAAUGCAAUUUUGAUGAGAUGACAUUAUGCUGAUAAUAUAUUUAAUGAAAACAUUUUGAUGAUACCUGAAUAAUCUUUUUGCAAGUUAAAGUUGUGAAAAAAUAAAUCUGGGCCCACUAAUUGGGUUCCUGGUCGUCCUUUGAAUUCUAACCAUCAGAGAAAUAUUAAAUUAGCUACCAGGAACUCACAGUCCUCUGUCAUUUUGGUCUCAAAUUUGAAACAUCUGAGAGUUCCUCAGUCCUGUUAUCAUCUAAUUCAUGAAGAUGAUAUCUCCAAAUUAGAUGGUCUCUGACAGAGAGAUGGGCACUUCUUCUAUCUAUGAAAUCUCAGAUUCAGGGUUGAAGAUUACCGUUUUCUCUACUGGCGGUUCAGUCCAGCCAGUUCGGAAGGCUGCAACUUCUUUCAUAAGACUUUUAGAAAUACUAUUUAAAGGUGUAGUGUGUGCUAUUUGGCAGUAUUCAGUAGAUCAGAUUUAAUGAAAAGGGUGGAAAUUGAAAAUCUCACUGGCAGAUAUGGCUAAAUUUUCUCUUUCCUUUUCUAAAUGUCCUACGCAUUGUACCUUUUUAAACAGUUGUCUAUCCUUGUAUUUUUCUUUGGUUCUUCUGUUUAUCUAUAUCCCUAGAUUUACAGGUCAUACCUUAUCUGCUGGACCAGUAUGUUUCCUUUGUGAACUUCUGAUCUUACAACAAAGAACUCUUGUUUCCAAAAGAGGAUUAUUACAUUUGGUUUGGUUUGGUUUUUGAACCAAAAGGAAAUGAGCAGCAAUGGUUCAGUGAGAAUACUGUCCACAGUUGGCUUAAUUUCCACUUUUUUAUUUUGAGGGUGAAUUCAUGGCUCAGGCAGCUUGAUUUCAAGCCGUUGCCGGGGCCUCCUCCUCCUACCCUAUGUGUUCACUUACUUCAUCACUUUUUUUUUCUGCUUUUCUUGUUUGAUAAAAAAUAAAAUUGGCCUCUCAAACUCCUCUGCAGCUACUUUUAACAGAUUGAGUCUAAGGCUUACUCACAGUGCAAGAUUUCAAGGGCCAUCCAUCAGUCUGAUUGAUGCCAAAAUCUUUGUGACUCUCCAGAUAAUGACCUGUGGAAUGGUUGAACAUGGCACAUUACUGGAAGGAGGAUUUGUUUAUGGGGUUUAAGUUUAGGAUGAAAUGCUCAUUAAGAAAAGAACAUCAAACUUCAUCAAUUACCAGUUGAGGAAAAUAUUUCCCUCGUAGAACAGAUGGGGACUGUUUUGACUUUUCAGCCUAAAACUGGUUUCCGCAUUGUUUACAAUUUGUGUAAUGAUUUUAUUGGCAACUGUUGCUCCCACCAAAAGCAAAGUGUAACUUUUCCCUUGCAAGUAUUUAUUUAUAAUAAUAAUAAUAAUAAUAAUAAUAAUAAUAAUAAUAAUAUUUUAAUUCAUUUAUUUUUUGCUAUAUUUUUAUUGACAUUUUUCAUUUUAAAACAAUACAAAAAAAUGAGUCAUUAGGGAAAUACUAUGCAGUACGUUUUUCAUUUUUUCAAUAAGGUUAAAUUGGGUUGCUUUUUACAGUGUCACGGUUUUAACAUAAGGGUCCGUCAAAUAUUCCAAAUAGAUGUGCGUCAAAAGCAUGAUCUUUACAAAAUAUUUACAGGUAGAUCAAUCAUUGUACUAAAGUUAGUCACUAAAAAGACAUGAGGCUCAGAAAAAAUUCCUUAUAAAUGUUGUUAUACAGAUGACAGUACAUACCAGCGAUAUACUUUCAUACAUUUAUAUUCUGAAAUAUCAUCCAUUUUGACCAAUACUGACUGAACUUAUCUAAACAAAGUCUUAAUGAAAAGGUCAGCCUCUCCAUAUCGUACAAUUUCUUUACAAUCAUCAUCCGUUCUGCUUUUUAUGGGUUCCCUAAGGCUUGUUGAUGACUUGCAAAUGGAAACCAGAGCACUUCUUAAAGAUUGUAAAACUGUGUGUAGACAAUUUGAUUUGAAUGGACUUUUCAACUGUUGAAAGUAUAAUAUGAAUACACAGAGUUGUCACAGUGUAAGGCUGCGAGUAAAGCUUUAUAUUUUAAUCCUGUCUGAAGGUAUUCAUAACAAAUCCUCCUAUACAGUGAAUUUGUUCAUCUUAAUGUCAGAUUCCCUGAGAUUGGCUUUAAGGUACGUCAGUAUCCACUUAGAGUUUUGAGCUGGAGCUUGUCAUAUUUAUUGAGCUUGUCUUGUUCAGCUCCAGCCUAUUUAACACAAAAAAACUCAGUGUACACAUAUAAUACAGGCAUGUACAAUUUGACAUUGAGGCAUAGCUUGUGUUUCCAUUAGGGACACAGAUAAGAAGCAGAAGUACUCAUUAGUGCUGCUUUUAUCUACCCUUUUUUUUUUUUUUUGGUGCUAAUGUUGGGCUGUCUCUACUGUGCUUUGAAAACGUGUUACAUUUGGGAAAUGUUGCCUCGAGUUAAAAGCGUUGGAACAAUGUGAUAGAUGAUAGCACUCGCUCCUUUUUUGAAAGUCUUCUUCAAAGCACAGGUCUGAGCCAGUUAACCUAUGGCUGGCGAGUCCAUCACCAAAUGAUUUGUAAAUGAGUUGUCUUUGAAAAAACUUAAAACACUGUUAUAUUCUACCAAAAGGGUCAAUUGUUAGGGGACUGACUGUUUUGAUUUUUGACAGCGGGAAGAAACUUGCAUUUACUGAAUAGAUGUUACAUGAAUAAUAGAGUGGCUGUCCUUGCUCAGGGUGUCAAGAUUACCUGUGCAAAAAUAUUGAUGCAUCCAAGGGAGGUGUUGUUAACUCUCUUAUUAGUCGUAACUGCACCUAAGUACAAAAGCUGUGUUAACACUCUUUCAGCCUGAUGAUAAUACUCACUAAUACAAGUCAGCUCUUCAUCUAGCCAAGCUGAUGGAGCAGCAUAACUACUGCAGAUGAUAACCACUGCUGACUUUGGCCACAUCAGGAUUCUGGCAGAAAGCUGUCUUGGCACUCUCGUUCCAGCACUUCUCGAUGCCAACAUGGUAGCAGGUGCCACACCUGGCUCUGGACUGGUUGCCCAUUUAUCACAGGCUGUCCACCUGCUCAAAGAGAAGGACAAAAACAUUCUCUUUACCUCUCUGAUUUGGUUGGGUCAGUUUUCCAAACACUGUAAUCCCUGUUGCUGCCGACACCCAGCGUUGGCCCAGGGAGGGUGUCAGCAGCCAUGUGCAUCCACUGUGAAACACAAAGACACUAGCUGAGUUAUUACAGCUGUUAGCUGGAUAGCAUAAUAUCCUCUUAAAUCAAUGCAACCUUAGCGAUUUGUUUUAGAUGUCCUGACAAACCAGCAGAGACUACUUCUGUAGUAGCAACGAUGUAAUCCCUCACCAGAUUUCCAUCCUAGUACAAAGGAAGUUCAUUGGAUUAUACCAAUGGAAACUUGAGUUGCUGUGGUGUUGAACUUGUACAACAUUACAAUUUCUGUGCAUUCCUUAAGAUUUAGCUUGGGGUGACCAUGUCAACAUGGAUGUAGGGAUGCACCGAUCCGAUAUUUGAUAACGGUAUCGAUCCCGAUACUGAAGAAAAUUCUAAAUCUGGUAUUGUGACAAUGGGCCCAUCUAGUCUAACUCUAUGCUAUGGGCUGUGAGUGGCAUCCACAAGUAUACACGGUGAGCGGAUGCCCACAUUGUUUUCAAAAUGGAGCGAGCAAAGGGGUCUGCUAUCUUGAACUUUAUCACAAUACCUGAACCUACAAGCUUGACGGCCACUUGCAAUACCUGCGCAAUAAAUGUUCCGAGGGGCAGUGGUAAAACUUCAGGUUACAACAAAACAAAAGGUAAUUCAGCGCGGCUUUUCUGUAAGGGAAUUGGAUCGGUAUCAGCCGAUACUUAACUGUAGAUAUCUGCAUCGUAUCAGAGGUGAAAACAGCAGAUCAGUGCGUCCCUACAUGGAUGGCAAAGUUUUGAUUAGGUGUGCUUGUUAGCAACACACUACAAGUUUUUAGCAAGCUGCAAGUUUCUGUGUGCGAAGUUUAAAUGUGCAAGAUGAUUGUCUCUUAAAAAUUAGGGGUGUCCUGGUACAACUUUUUACCUCCGAUAUAAAACCGAUAAUGUAGCCUUCAGUAUUGGCCGAUACCGUAUUAAUCAGAUAUUGGCACAAACUUGUGCAUGACAAGUUUUGCACUCAACUGCGACAUCUUUUUCGGACUUUGACGAAAAAUACUGCCACACAGCCGACCUCACUACUACUCCUUGCUACCUUUACUGUUGUUGUGAUAACAUGGGCUUUGUGUGCCAGAGUGGAGUGUGGAAUGGACUGCUUUUAUCGGAGUGCUGAUAUCAGUGAUUUUAGAUGCAGGCCGAUAUAAUCAGAUAUUUGUUUUUUGAUCAAUAUCACAUCCCUAUUAAUAAGUGAGUAAAAAGACUGGUCCAUGAUGCCAGCAUGUUAAACUUCACCUCUGCUGACUCUGCAAACUGCUUCUGAUCAAUCAAGGAUAGCUCGAGUUUUACAAAAUGUGUCCACACUUUGAACCUUGACAGUUACCUAAGGCCUCCUCAAUAGAGCAAGAUCAGGAAUUGAAACAAGUCUUUUCCCCCUAUGGUCAAUCAUGUGUGUUUCCUCACAAAAUGUUUUUUCUUUUUUACUUGAGUUUAAAAAAUUUGGCAUUAAACUGAUUGAGCAGAUCUCCUGUUUGAACCUAAUGGCCCUUUGAGUCCCCCUUUCAAGGUGUUGUUUUUCUCACACCAUGUUUCACUGCAGUCGUUGCAGUGGUGAUGUCAAAAUAGACACCAACAAUAUAAAAAAAAAAAACAAGUGUUAUUCUGCCUGUGCACGGGCUGUGUGGGCUGUGCUGGCUGAAGUCAAAAACAAACACAAUUGUACCCAUGGCCAGCAGUCAGGAAGAGGCAGCAGCAUCUGUCGAGGAAGGCUGUUAUUUGUUUUUCCUCAACUUUCUGGGUUCCUUUUCCCCAGGACAACUCUCCACCUGCUAGGACUAAACAUUAGGCAGAAUGGAAAGCCACAAUGCCAGCUGUGACCCUAUAGGGGUGUGUGAUGUUUAUCCCUGACUGGUGUCCAUUGGAUAUCUAGUCUACACUGACGGACAUGGUUAACACAGACUUGUGUGUUUACUUCACACCUCGACAAGGACAUCGGCUUGUUAGGUAGUUAGCACAGCCUCUCAAGGGGACUUCAGUGGUGUUAGAUCCAAUUUUCUUUCAAUGGGCUGCCCAGGAAGUCGGCUAUUCUUUCUUUUGUACUUAGGCACAAUCACUUUUCAGAUGAUUUUAAGAAUUAUUACAGGCACACAUGGGUUUAUAGAAAAAAGAGUCUCGGCGUGAACUUUGAUGCAUUUGAAUGAGUCAUUGAACUUGUCUGUGCUUGAGUUCUCCAGAGCAGGCCAGAAAAUUAGCUCCUACUUGUUACUGUAGUUUAUGUGGAAAUUGAUAAUAAUUGCGCUCCAUAAUGGUGUGAGUGAUGUAAUAGUCUUGAAGGUGUAAGUCUGAGCGCUGAUGCUUAUACUCUGUGAGCUUAGGGGAAGUUCAGUGAAACGAUGAACAAGCUGCCUCGAGAAAACUUUCCUCGCUGCUUUUCUUUCUUUUCCUCAUCUGAUAUUAAAAACAGAGAAAGAAUUUGAUGUUUGAUUCAACUGGCCCAGUUCGUUAAAUCAUCUCGUAUGCAGGAACACUUGCUCCAGCACAGUUUCAGCUUGUAAAUUAUUUCGGUUUCCUGCUUUCUAUCUUAGAAUAAUAAAAAAGAACAACUGGUCUGUCUGACUGUCUUUGCAGACUUCUCAAAAGAUGGUAAAUAAUGAACUGAUAUCAGUUCAGCUCUGAAAUGAAAACUACACAGUUCUCUUUCUGCUGCACUGAAAGCCGCUCUCAUUAUGUAACUAUUACUGAGCAUGAAUUAAAAACUAAUUCAGUGAACACCUCUGCACUCUAUGAAAGUCGAGUUGUUAUAGCGAUACUUAUUUCAAGCAGGUAAACUGAUCCAAAUGAGUGAAUCACUGCGUAGAAAUCUAUCUACUCUACAUCUGAUACACAAAGGAAUAUAGAGUCUUCUGUGCACGCUCUGUGGUUUUGUUGCAGGACCGCUGCAAACAUAUGCAUUGUUGAGUUCAACCAACAGUUUAAGCUAAAAUAAACCAAAGUCAAUGACGAAUGACUCUUUGGACUGUGGCAGUACUUCACAAGGUCCUCAGUGUAGGGCUGGGCCUCAAAUCAAUAUCACGAUAUAUUGAGCAGUUCACCUCGAUAACUGUAACAGCCGCCGCUCCAGCAGCUACAACUUUUGAACCGUCCUCCAUCUCCUCACCUGUCUUUCCCUCUUUGUUACUGACUGGAUGGGGUGGAGUCUCGUCUCUGACGUAGGACGGUGUCUUAAAGGGACAUGAGACCAUAGCCUACCUACACCCAUCCAAAACCAACUUUUAUUUUUUUAUUUUUUUGACACUGAAUAUGGGCGAAAUGAUGUCAGUUAUUGGCGUAAAUUUUGGUAUCUGUUAAUUUUCGGUUUAUCGCCCAACUCUAAUAUGGAGUCUUCUGUGUAUGCUCUUUAGUUUUGUUGCAGUACCACUCCAAACGUGGGGGCAGUGUUGAGCAGUUCAGCCAAUAGUUUAAGCUAGAUAAGCCAAAAACAAUUAAGAAUUACUCUUUAGAUUGUGGCAGAACUUCACAAGGUCCUCAGAGUCUCUGUUGUAUCAUACAGGUGCAUAAAGGAGCUAAAGGAAGUGUGAUUCAAUGGUGAAGCUUCAAAGCUGCUUUUACUAAAUGUAAAGAAACUGUUAUUCACAUCAGCCGCUGUUAAGUAAAGGAGCAUUUAUGUGGUGUGGAGCUGUUUGACCUCUGAGGUCCAGUGAAGAGUGUUUUGAAUGCUUCUGGGUCCAAAGUUCUCGAAGCCCUUUGCCCUUUGACCACUUCACCCCAGUAAGGACGAUGAGGUCGGACACAAUAUUUAGGUCCAUGGAUUUAUUUAUUUGUUUUAGAGAGUUGGUUAAGUUUUUCGAUAAAGUUACACUUCUACUAUUUUACUUUACUUUCUCUAAGAGCAUCAGACUCCUCAGUUCAUGGCCCUUGACUUAUUUGUUCAGGUCGUGUUCUCAUUAACAUUCAUUCCUUAAGGUAUGCUCGGGACAAUUCACCAGGCAGUGCUUCUGCAAAUGUGCACCUGGUUUUAGAAGAGUCUAGCUAGACUAACACCAGGUUUACUGACCUGGGAACAGCAGGCGUACUACACCGCAGCGGCGCCUUUGAGCGGCAGCACUUCAUUAGUCGAAGCAAUUACUUUUGGGCAGCUGAGGUUUCACCUGAGUUCCACGAGCGUGUGUAACGGAUUGAGACUAUGGACCUGCACCUCAUGAACGAGUCAUAGUGACCCCGUCGAGAUUGAAAGGGACAAAAGUUUUCUGCAGUGGAGAACAGAGAAACCAAGUUUGGAGAAAAUUAUAACAAUCCCACUUAGAGUUUCUUCUCUUUUAUGGUUUAUUUGACUGAAGCUCAUAACUUUGAUCAAAAUGGUCACAACACAAAUUGGUUUUUUAAAGUUCUCUCUUUCUUUAGAAGGUGAAGGGUGUAUUAUAUUAGUCUUGCUUAACUCAUACCCUUAAAGACAUAGAGAUGUCUCCUUGUCUGAGGUUUGCUUGUUUAUUUCCAGUCUAAAAAAACACCCACCUCAUCUACAUAAUAAUAUCUCCCCAGGGCCCCUUUGGUAUUAUUCUUUAUCACCUCACAUAAUAAACUCUUAGCCCCCUUGUUACCAAAUUAUAUGACCGUUAUAAAACUGCACAGUCAUUGCACUAACCUGCCCCCACUCUUUUCCUCACCCCUAUGUGACAGGUUCACUUCACUGUCAACAUUUUCGGCUCAGCUUUUAGGGGUGGGAAUCACCAGUGGUCCCACGAUAUUAUCACGAUACUUGGGCCACGAUAACAUUUUGCAACGCAGUAAAUAUUGCGAUACAAUACAUUGCAAUUUAUACUUUUUUUUUCUUUUCUAACUGUUUGGCUAAUUUAGCAAUUGGCUUUCCUUUGUGUUUGCGUUCCAGUUGUACUCUGAAGUCGGGAUUUCCGAGCUCCGAGUCAAAAAUGAAUCUAGAAUGCCCCUCCUGAAGUCGGAUUUCCGACUCGGAAAGUCGGACGAUCCUCGCCAACUUGACGACAACGUCAUAAUUCAAGAUGUGGUUCAAGUAAAAGCUCUUGUAUGUUUUAUUUGUUAGGACUUCUGUUUUUUUGUGAAAUUUAAUAAGUGGUAUUUGUUGUACUGUCCAACGUCUAACUGUGAACACGGUGCUGUGGUGUUUGUCGAGUAAAUACUGUAUUCUGCGUUGUUUACAACUGGUAUAGCUAACAACAACUAAUAACAGCUGACAACCGCUAACAACAACUGAUAACGGCUAAUGACAGCUGACAAUUGUAAACAACAGCUAACAUCGGGUAACUAUAGGCAUCCAUCUUGGUUUUCCGACUUGUUAACUGGAACACCGUCAACUUGGGUUUAACGUCAUUCCCAGCUCCGACAUCCGACUUCCGAGAUGACUAGAACGCAGCAUUGAUUAUGCAGUAUUUUAUUUUCAUGUAUUUGUAUAUUUUUGUUAAACUAACUUUCUCCUGCUCUAUGAUGUCACCUCUGCCAACCUCACUGGACGAACAGUUAAUUUUAUUUUGACUUGACUUUAUAUUAGCAAUUAAUUAAAAAAAUUGAUACUUGGUAAACUAGACGUUAUGAUAUAUCGCCAGACAAAAUAUUGCGGUACUAUGCCGUCUUGAUUUUUUUUCUCCCACCCUUAUUGGCUUUGUCCUACAUUAAAUUAACCCACUUCCCAUUAUCCCAUUUGGUCUGUAACCUCUCUCUAUUAAAAAAUUAAAAAAGUUUUCACUAAUUAGCUUAUGAAUAAUUUGCUCUAAUUCAACAGGUGACUACAUUUCAAAGUUUACUGCAGAAACACCCCGCGAGACGAAAACUCCCACGUCCUGUGAAUGCUAAAACAAGGCCAGCCGAAUGUAGGGCAGUGCUCUUCUUCACCCCCCUCGCCUCCUCUGGUGACAGAGACAGGACUACAAGAAGUAGACAUAUGCGUCCUGCUACAGGGGCCAAGCUUAAGGGAACAUGCUGUGUAACGUACACCACCUGUGUGCCUCCCUGGCUGCUGUAUUACUGUGGCUACAGUCACUGCGACAGGCUCAGCAGAGGUCAUUUGCAUACUUUAUGACUCUAGGUAAAAGGAGAUAGCAACCAUUAGAAGGGAGGCAGGGACGGUGUGUGUGUGUGUUUGAGAGAGAGAGAGAGAGAGAGAGGAGAUGGUAAAAGAGUGCUGUUUAGCCUGACUCAUAAGGGCCUGCAGUUAAAAGCGUUCGAAUCCAUCUUCAGGCCUGAGGAUGAGCUGAUAGGUGAAGAAGAGCAAACACUUUAGAGGUAGGUUGUUUUUGACACUUCGUCUCCUACCAGACACAUGUUUUGUAACCUGGCCUUCUGUGAUGCUGUCUCUCUCCUCCUGUUGUUGCUGUUGUUGUUGUUAUUGCGUCUGACUCUCUACUCCCAGAGCUAACUCCGUCUCAGACCUCGGUGUCUGUACACUCGCCUCUUGCUUUCCUCUGUCCGUCUUGUCAGCGAUGGAUCAAAUAGAAAUCCCCGAGCACAGCUUCUCUUAGUGAAAGUGUUUAAUGAACUGCUUUCUACGCUUGUUGUGUUUAAAGUGGAAACAAAGCAACCGGAGGAGAAGGAAUAACAGAUUCAAAUUGAGAUCUUUGUAUUUACGCAAAACAAAGAAAACUCAAGUACUUGUUGUUUGCUUCUGGCAAAAGUUAUUGACCAGACAUGAGGAAGUUUAUACGGCCGUAUCACAUUCCCACCAUUUGUUUGCUGAGUCACAAGGGCAGGGAGUGAACUUUAUCCCCAGCUGAGCAACAUUACGCCGAUGCUAAUCAUUUACCUUGAGCCUGGACUGAUGUAAGAAGUAGUAAAACAGUAGUCCCUCACGUGUCGUCCCUGUCUACUGUAAACUGCAGGUGGAAAAUAAGUCCUCCUUGAAUGACAUGUCUUAAUGAGUGAUUAAGUGCGAACAUUAAGCCUAUCUCCUUUUAUCUAUCAUUUCCAUUUGUUUCUAAUGAAUGAGUAAUUAGCUGCUAAAAGUGAUUGACAGGUUGCCCCAGGAAGCAAGAAACAAGAUGCUGAGAAAUCUUCUCUGACUCUGAAAGUAAUUACCUUUAAUGACUGACUUGAUAUAAAUAAUAUUAUCCUGACGAACGCCAUUAUCAUACAGGUUUAAGUGUCUGAAAUAAAACAAAAUAGUGGGUGUUAAAAGAUAUAUUUCAUAUUUUUCUUUUUUUUGUUUUAUUUGUAAAGGAUAGGAGAGUGAAUGGAUGAGGAGAAAAAGUGAGGAAAGUUGUGAUUUAUUUUGUUUUCCUUGUUUAUGAAUUGUUUAUUUUGCACUCAUAUCGUUUCCACACAUGUGGGAAGAGGGGAGCAGGUCAGAGGUCAAUCCAGUUCACGUGCUUGAGUAUAUAGCUAGCACGAAGAGUGGGAUUUAUGGGGAAGUUAUGAUGUCUGAUAACAAAGAAAAUACACGUUUUCUCCUUUUCUCUUUUAUAACUGACAUUGCAGGGAGUUAAAAAUUGAGUUUCCUUGGGGUAGUGAUUUAGUUCUUGAGAAAUUAAAUAGGUCUUUUAUUGUGUUUUGAUGAUGGUGGGGCAAAGUUUCAUAUACUCAACAGAUGUAUUCAGAUUUAUGUCCAAAAUAUGAACUUAAAAUUCCGAUUCUGAAACGAACUCUCACAUUUGCGUCAUGCACACAUUUAUAGCCGUCCCAUUCAAGAUUUAUAAGUCAUUUUGAAGUUAUAUAAAUGACAUUAUGGAAUUGUAAAUCCCACAAAUUGUUUUGCAUGUGGGGAACAUUCAUAUUCUGCAUUCAGUUAAAGUCUUAUCUAAAUUUCCAUGUCCAUAUCUCACGCCCCUUUUAUGGAGUCAUAAAUCCAUGCUCGUAUAUCGUGGUCUCAUGUCGGAGAGUGCAGACAUUUCAGAUGAACAAGUUUCCUCAAAGACACUACCUGACUUUAAACACAGUGAUUGUGAAGGUUCUUGCUGUGACAUGUGACAUUUACACAAGCACAAGUGCAACAAUGACAGGAGCUGCUGACACCAGGAUGAAGCAGCCUAAAAUAACCGCACAAUAAUAACAGGCUUCUUAUUUUAUACAGCCAUAUAAAAAGUAUAGUCUAUAUAGAAUAUAAUUAGGUGUGUAUUAUUAAUUACCUUUAGCAAUUAUGCCAUGAAAGGUCAUCUUUUAUCUUUUGAAUCUGAGUUUUGAUGGAAAAAGUAAAAUAAAAUAAAAAAAAAAACAGAAGAAGGCAACUCAAAGAAAUAAUUCAAAGCAAUGCCCUUUGAGAGGCUACUUCACGUUUCCGUAAUCAGACCACCCACUGGGAUUAAAAUCUGUGUUUACGCUUGGAGCAAUAUACAGACAUUGGUUAUGAAUUAGUGUUUUACUGUUUUAUAUUGCAUAAAAGAACAUGCUGCAUCAUAAAACACUAAUGGGCGGGAAUGACUUAUUCAUCAUUUAUACGUUUUCAUGGUCAGUUCAUACGGACCGUGCUGGCAUUUAAAAAGUUUGCCAUUUGUGCUGUAGAUAGUCAGAAACAGUAAGAUAAACUUCCUCACAAACCUUGUAGUGAGGUCCAGAGGAACUAAACGCCCUUAAAUUGCAGGGAAUUCAGUGUGAGGGUCUAAAAGAUAAUCAAGAUUCAUCUGUAGGUCAAUAAUAAACUGUUUCCUUUCUGCUUGGAAGAGCUGGCACAGGGAAAGGCCAGAAAGAUGCCCCGGGGAGAGCAGGGUGCUGAAAGCCAGAAAAAGUCAGCUGAAGGCUACAGUCGACUGUCUGGAGAUAGUGCAGUCAAUGCUGUAUGCAGCCUGUGGAUGUUGUGGCUACGAAACUCAUCAGAUUGUGGAUGAAACAUAAACAUUGAGAGCUGAAUCAGACAUGGAAUUGAAGUUGUGACUGCAUUGUUAUAACUGGGGCGACCAAUAAAAUAAGAGCGAUUCAAAAGCAAUACAGUGAAAGUAAUGCUAAACACUGUGAUGAUGCGGUGUAGCUUGGAAAAAUGUUGUAUCACCACUCUUGAGGAAUAAAUGUGCAGCUUAAGUGUUAUGAGCUCUGGGUUUUUCAAAUUCUCAUACUCAAGUUCCAGCGAGCAGAAGCUGUUCAUUUAACUACGUUUACUAAAACCAUAGUGCUGUCAAACACACCGAGCAUACGGAGCGAAAGUGAAAUUGGAUUAUAGUGGGGUUUGGAAAGUUUCUUUGGUUCUUCAGUUUUUUUUUUUAGCCCUAAAAGUAGGCCAUCAUUUGUAACCGCCUUAAAAUCAACCUGCAGCGAAGAGGAAGAAGCAUGCCAGCAGUUUUGAACUUUUUGAGCUGUCUUUUAAACAUCUUUUUUGGUAUUCAUAAAAUAAGUAUUGUGGAGCAUUUUUUGAAUGAUUAGUACAAUUCCAUAAAGGUGCAAAUACACUAUAUUUUUAUGCAGUCUACAGAUAAGAAAAAUAUUUAUGUACAAUUGCGCUUAUUUUCAUUCUGCACAUUAUUCCAUUACAUAUUCUAUUACUGAGAUUGCAGCUUCUUUCCAUACUUAAAAACUCAUUUUUACAAGUAGUAAUGAAUAACUAAGCGGAUUUGUUUAGUACAUAUUAAACAUAAUCAUCAUUGGAUUGUGUGGUCAGAUCAAAAGCAAAGCAAAAAUCCUAAUUUUAAGAUGUGUCUGCAAAAAAACAAAACUCCAUAUAGUUUGUUACCCUCCACUUGGACCAUAUCCUACAUACAACAAAGCCUCAUAUGUAAAUAAGGGGUGAGGGAAAAAAAUUGAUACAGCAUAGCAUCACGAUAUUUUGUCUGGUGAUGUAUCUUAUCGUCUCAUUUACCAAGUAUCGAGUCUUCAAAUUAAUUGCUAAUAUGGAGUCAAAUCUAUGAUAAUGGAAAAAUAAAAUCAACUGUUUGUCCAGUGAGGUUGGCAGAGGUGACAUGAUAGAGCAGGAUAAAGUUUGUACAACAAAUAUAUAUAAGGUUUGCAAGAUGUGCCACAUAAAAAUAAGAUAUAGUUUAAGUAAGACAAACCUAAAGGAAGGCCAAAUGCUAAAUAAGUUGAACAGUGGAAAAACUUGUACAAAUUGCAAUAUAUUGUAUCACAAUACUCACUGUAUUGCAAAAUGUUAAAAAUCGCAAUAAUAUUGUAUCGUGGCCCAAGUAACAUGAUAAUAUCAUAUUGUGGCCGAAGUAUCAUGAUAAUAUCGUAUUUUGGCCCAAGUAUCAUGAUAAUAUCCUACUGUGGCCCAAGUAUCAUGAUAAUAUCUUAAUGUGGCCCAAGUAUCAUGAUAAUAUCCUACUGUGGCCAAAGUAUCAUGAUCUUAUUGUGGCCCAAGUAUCAUGAUAAUAUCUCAUUGUGGCCCAAGUAUCAUGAUAAUUUUGUAUUGUUGCCCAAGUAUUAUGAUAAUAUUGUAUCGUGGCCCAAAUAUCAUGAUAAUUUCCUAUUGUUGCCCAAGUAUUAUGAUAAUAUUGUAUCGUGGCCCACGUAUCGUGAUAAUAUCAUAUUGUGGGGCCACUUGUGAGUUCUAUCCCUAAUGUAAAUGGUUAAGUACUUCUAGAAAAACAUAUGUACCGCACACGGAAACCAAAAAAACUUCCCGUACAGACCAGGCCCUUGAGUACGAAGUCCACAUUUUAUGUAAAACUCGUAAAUAUUGUCCGUGGAGAAACGUGCUGAGUUACGUCAUAAUGUCCCACCAAUAAUUCAGCCAAAGAUAAGAUAAAGACAGAUAAGCAGAUCCUUCAGUCUGUCUUAUUCCACUGUAGUUCAUGAGCUUCUGCUGCAGCCAGGCUGUGGGGAAGCUUAUGAUUGAGAUAAUGACAGAAAGAAAAAAAGGCAGAUUGAAUGAAGGCGCACAGGGACUUGUAUAUCCUUCAGAGGGCUUUAGAGUGGCCCUGUACUCACGGAUGCUGUCGUCAUCCUCUGCUCUCAUACUCGCUGACAAAUAUCCGUCGACUCUUCUGAUCAUCCAAGGGGCUGAAGUAAUGCGCUUAGUUGUCUCUUGUCCCUGAGAGUUGGCCGUGCAUUUUCUGACAUUCUUUCAAUACUUUCAUUUUCAGAUCCCUCUAUCUUCUCCUUUUCUCUGUUGCUUUCCAGGGUUUCUCUUUGAAAGUUAUGAUACAGUGAAAUGCUGAUGCUAGCCAGUCCAAAACAUGCCCGAAAUGUAGCGAGAAAACAAUCUGAUUUAUUGUCUGUGUUCCUCAUGGAAGAUUAAAAUGAUGAUCUGGAAAACACUCCACGCACUGUAUGGUUUCUGUUCUCUGGAGGACUGCGGCUGCAAUGCAAAUCACAAUCAUACCCUCUCUUGUUACUUGUUAUCUCUUCUUUAGAUGUGGAAUUGAAAGAGAGUCCUUGAGCUGGGCUUUUCCACUUUUCCACACUCACAAACACACACAUACACCGUCUUUAACAGCUUGUCUUUUUUUUUUUUCCUAUCACAACUCUGUCCACACACAUUGUAAGAUGUAUGGGUUGAGUAUAUUCUUGGAGAUGUUGUUUACCCUUCAUGCUUGACGUGAUUUCAGAGUGGAGGUGGUCCUGAGCUGUCCUUCUUUGGCGCAUUACAUCUUUCAGAAGACGAGGCUUGAAAGCUGUGCAAGCAAAUGCAGCACAUACUCAAUUAUACAAGCAUUGAUGGAGUCGAGUGGUCAUGCGUAUACUGCAUCUAUGGGUACUCUGUUUUGUCCAUUUUACCCUUGUGCUGUUCAAUAACCGACAUCCUUGACAAAGCAUUCACAAAGUAGGCUAAAAAACUGAAACUAGAGCAGAAAGACGGCAAAAGAAAAAUAAACCAAAUGCAAUCUGUGAUACUUGAAUAGCAAUGGUUGUAGUAUGAUUCAAUGCAAUAUUACAAGCUGGGAUUACUAUUUACUAAAAGCAUGAGUAUUCUGUUAUGGAUGAGAGUGCUUAUUUAGCCGCCUUGAAGCAUGGGAGCCUCAACUUUCCCAUGCCGGUAGAUAAAACAUCCAUGAAGCAGUAAGCAGUAAAUAAUGUAAACACACAGAGGGAAGAUGGAACCAGUACAGAAAGAGGAAAUGGAGCGUUAAAAGGUAGCACAUUUGUCAGGACUACCCUUGGGCUAAAAAGCCCAUCUCUAUCCCCACCUGCCCCACCUUGUUCACAACCUGUAAGCUUCAAAGUCUCUGCAGAGUAUCAGUGAAAGUCCUCUGUAACGUGGUUUGAACACAGCAAGGGAACUUGUUGUGAGCUGUUGGGGGACAAGAGAUGCCAUUUGACAGGCUAAUAAACUUAUUACAUAUGAAGAUACAUAUAACGUGCAGUUUUGAUUGACAUGUUUGCACACUGUUAAAAGAACAAUCGAAAAAAUACACACCAACAAAUGGUAACAUGAUCAAUUUCUUAUUGUUUUAAUCAUACUGCAUUGGCAGGAAAAUCAACUCAGCACAAUGGUCGGAGAUUGUAUUGUAUCACAUCCCUCCAUACUGUUUCAUGUCAAGAUUGUGUCCAACACUGUAUCCUAUGUUUUCAGUCUUUGUUGUAUCAUAGAGUUUGUAAUUGUAUAAUGAUUAUAUAGCAGUUGUAUAGGACCAGUUUGUUUUGUGCAUAGACUGUAUAUAGAAUGGACAUCAUCUGCCUCCUUGCUGGGUGAAGCCACUCUGAGAACAGCACCCUCUGGUGACGGGCUAGAGAAUAGGUCAUAAAUACCACCAACUCCAGCAAUCCCAAUGGAGCUGAACUUAAUUACACAGAAUAUACAUUUUUCUCCCCCCUGGUUCUGAUGUUGACAUGUAUUUACUGUAAGACUGGUUUAUAAGUCCUCUUUUUUUCUCAACAGCGCCGUUUUUAAAAGUUACCAGGGGGUUUAUGUUUUUAUGAUUGACAGUUGAUAUAGCCUAUGGCCGUACAAGGAUUGUGUAGCCUUCCCUGGGGAUACGCUGUUUGCGCCGAGCGUCAUCACAGCGACUCUCCCACCGAAUGGGUACAAUGCUACUGCGGAAGUGGUGGUUUCAGAAAGUGGAGAAAAUCCUCGAAAUACCGAGAGCAUUUUUGGCUUCAAAUUCACAUAAUGACGGAAGGCGGAGCCAAGUUCUCCAUAGUGUAUAAAGUCUAUGGUUUUGUAACAGUAUCAUACUGUAAAGGUGUUAGCAUUGUAUCCUAACCAUAUUCAUUCUGUAUCAUUUUCUUUCAUAUCACAUCAUACUGUGCUGUACCAUAUUGAUGUGUCACAUAGUGUCAUACCGUACUGUACUGCACUGCAUUCCAUGCUCUUCUAUAUGGUAUCAUAUCAUCCUGUUAAAGAGCAACAUCUGUCAGAGGUUUUAAUGUGAUCUGUUUUUCUUUUUUUUGGGGGGAUGUUAAUUUGGCUUUUCAAUACUUGAAGUCAAAGAUAUAUAAAGUUGUACUUUGUGACAAUUCUAAGAGCAUUAGGGCAGAAAAGAAAUUCAGUAACAUUUGAGUUUUAUUCAUUUCAUUUCAGUGAAAUGAAUGGGCAUCUAUCAUACCAACCAAAUCUAAACACUGUGUUUAUUUUCCAUGAGCUGUUUAUUUCUUUUUUGAAUAUUUUGAGUCCUUAAAUACCUCUGGUAAAUGUCUUAAUUGAAAUUCUUCACUUUGCAGGACUGAAUAGAACCAAUGAAUGAGCUGCAGUCAAAGGAGAGAGACUGUCAGCUGUGGAGUUUUUAUUAAAGGUCAUACUUGUAGCUGGGUAAUAAUGCCAUUCAGAUCUAUUUGUUUAUCAUCUGUAUAAUCAGUGUUCUGUGGCUGAUAAAACAAGCAGUAAAUAUUUUACAGCAAUCUUUG
Non-coding RNA from Xyrichtys novacula (pearly razorfish), 45303 nucleotides. NCBI's taxonomy places the organism in Eukaryota, Metazoa, Chordata, Actinopteri, Labriformes, Labridae. The record is from the annotation of a GenBank genome assembly.